UGCACCUGGCGCAGGUUGUCGAAGCCGAUGACGCGGACAUAGGCGUCAGGGUACUCCUUCUUGACCUCCUCCACCUCGUUGAGCACCUGCGUGGCGUCGGUGCACCCGAACAUAGGCAGCUUCCACAUUGUCCAGUAUCGACCGUCGUAGUACCCGGAGGAGCUGUUGUGCUCACGGAAGACGAAGCCAACCUUGCUGAACUCGAGGCAGGGCACCCACUUGGAGCGGAUCAGGUAGUCGACCUGCUUCAGGAGGGCCUCCGUGGAGAGGGGUGGCAAGUAAGACAGGGUCUCGAACUUCUUGAUGCCCUCAAUCGGCCACACCUGAAUGAAUGGAAAUUGUGGAAUGCACACAACUGCUUAACACUUGGUGCUAGUAAAUUGUACGUACAGAGGAAGAAACUCAUAUCAGUUUUGUGCCUCGAGUCUCGACAUACCUGCAUGCACCUGAUCCUUCCGCCAUUGCUGACGCGGCCGAGGCUGCCGCUGGAGCGGCGGCUGACGGGGAGACCGGCUGUGGACUUGAGCCCCUGGAAGGGUGCGACGGUGGUAGCCGACGAAGCCAUCACGGCGGGGGCCAUGGUAUUGUAUUAUCGGAGGAGAGGAGGAUGCCGGCUACAGGUGAGGCCACCAUUGCCGGGUCACUACGGUAUAUAUAGCCAGACACUUAGCGUCGUUUCUUUGGUACAGAUGUGGUUGGGGUGGCUGACGUUCUCUGGUUGCCUCGUUUCCUUAUCUUCUCCGGAUCAGUGGAAGAAGCAUGGCCGUCGGAUGCGUUGUGUGUGCUGGAAAUUUCAGUCCUUCAUGUCAUUGGCUGGCUGCCACACAACCUUUUUCCAGCUUUUCUUGUUUUUGGUUUCAUUUAAAGCCAAAAGUUUCUUGAGUACAAAUUUUCUGAGAUGCGACUUGAGUGGUGCGGGCAAAAUAUUUUACAUUUUAUCAUAAGAUCUGAUGGCUCACUCUCUCGAAAGUAUGCCCAUAGGCGUAGAGUGUGCGUGUGUGCAUUUAUAGGGGUUGUUGUACAUGUGUGUAUGUGAACGUCUACAUUUGUACACCGUUUCUCAAAAUAAAAUAUAUGUUUUGUUGGUACAAUUAAUUGAACUAGCAUAGUAACCGUCCACACGCAGAACAAGUUCUUUCCCCUCUCGCAAGGCAACUAUUGAAAGCUUUCCAGCCCUCUAUAUCCGCCAGUGAGCCCGUGGAUCCGCCUCCCCUCUGCCGGAAGGGGGAUUCCUGGUGCCUCAGCUCUGGCUAGUAGAUAAGUAGGGUUUUUAGUCCUCAUAGGUGAGGCUCUUGGACGGAUGGCAGCCCUUCUUCUUCGAGCCAAUCUUUCGGGAUCCGAUCCUCUUCAAGUUCCUCUGUCUAGGGAGCUCCGACGUAGAUUCUUGCCAGCUCCUCAGGCGGCGAGGUUAGGAUUUCUCGUCAUGCGUAUGCACAAUGAAAUUUGUGUCAGGUUCUUUAGAUCGAUUCAGGGAUUCAACGGCGGCGACUGCGGCUCCAGAGCACUAGUCCUUAGGGGCACGUGCAUGAAGACUUCCUGGCUGUCAUCGACAAGGUCAAGGUAGCUCUAGAGUGGGAGCAACGACAACGGUGCUUUAGUGGCUCGUCUCUAUGCGUAGGAACGAAAAGAAAGCCCUAUAUCUCGACUUUUUGACAACUCUCUGUGACAAUGGGAUUGAGCUACUCCAUACCUUGUUUUAAACACUACUGGGUAGGAACGAAAAGCUCUAUAUCUCAACUAUUAACACAUAUGGCUAAAUCUGUACCUUGAAUUAUAGGAUAUGCCAAUCGGUCAGUGGUGGGCGGUCUCUCACAUACAUUGUCUCUCAAGUAGGGCUGCAAAUGAGACGAGUUCGAGCGAGUUGGACUUGACUCAGCUCAACUCAUAUUAAAAUUCGAGCAAGCUCAAACUGAGUGAAGCUCAAGGUCAAGCUGUAGAACAUGACUCAUGCUCAACUUGUAACGAUCUCGAGUCGAUCUCGAGCUAGUUUCGAGUUAAAUGAGAUGAUAAAAUUUAUAAAUUUUAUGACCAUUAUUCCAACUAGAUAAGCACAACAUGACAUAAAAAAGCACAAAAAAUAUUAUUCCAAUCAGAACAAUGAUAAUACAAUUUUCUUUUGAAAUGAUACAAAUUUUGUUAGAAGUAGUUUAACUUAUUCUAUCACAACCGAAAGUCUAGUAUCAACGUAAGAUAACGAUUCACGACAUAUAUAUAAUUGCGAAAACGAAGGUGCAUAUGCUGGGAACUUUUGCUAGAAACAACAAAAUAUUUAACACAUGGUCGACCACAUACCAUAAUAAGGCCUAAAUUUUCUCUACAACUAAUUAAGCUUCGAUGUUUGUUUGUAAAUGAAAUGGAGAAAAAUCCUGGAUGGCACAUAUGGUAUUAAAUUAUCAUAUUUUCAUUUAUUAUAUGGCAUGAUCAUUUAACAUAAUGAUAUUAUGCCGAGCUAUCGAGCUAAAACCGAGCGAGCCAGUAUUGGCUCAAGAUCGGCCCGUUUCUCGACUGAGCUAUAGAAAGUGUUUGUACUCAACUCGUUUCUUUUCAAGUCGAGUCAAAAAUCGAGUCGAUCUCGAGCCGCUCACGAGCCUCAAGCUUUUCUUACAGCCCUACUCUCAAGCAGUGUCAUGUUGAGACAACUCAAUCAUCCUACUUUCCAUCCCAUAUGAGCGGCAGAUAACGGAAAGACAUUAAUAUCACAAGGCCUGGACCGGAGGCAAUAAGUUGUAUGGACAACCAUGAAGCCUAGAAUAAUUAUGUUCCUCUCAUGAUAUCGAUGCCCUGGCACCUGGAGGUCUCUCGAUUUGCGCCUCGAGUUGAACUUCUCCAACUACACCAAUUGAUCGGAUGGCUCCAAUCACUAAAUUACCGCAAGAGUAAAUAAUACCAUGAAGAGGAAAAACAGGAAUAGACGAUGCAUAUCAAAUAACCGCUUACUAGCUGACCGACCCAUAGCCAACGAUUACUCAAAUAACAUCACAUAUAAAAGGGUUUAAGAGUUGUUACAACCCAUUACGGAGACUGUGAUGGGGGACGAGAAGGGGUAUGGGUGAGGGCGGAGUGGCGACGGCGGCGCUUCUCCAGCAUUGCCUCCUUCAAGGUUGCAAUGAUGGAGAUGGAGGCUUGGCACAGCCCUCAAGUGUUUUUUUAUGUCGAUGGCAGCUGGACGUAUGGAUCGUGUCCCCGAGUGGCUAGGGUUGGAGGUGUAUUUAUAAGAACUCUCCCAAAGCCUCCUUCGUUGAUGUAGCAUCUCUACUUUGAUCCAAGUGCUCUACGUGAGCCAAAUAUUUCCCAAAACCUCCCUUGAUGGCAAAGAAAGUAGUAGGAACGAACCGGGACAAAAUCCUCAAAGAAUCCCCGUCUGAAAGGGCAACUUUCGGGCUUGUCUAGGCGUAAUACGAGCACUGGUACAUCCUUUUUUUUAUGUAUCAAAGGUCGUUGAACGCUUUGGACUCUUUGGUAAAACCGCCGUAACUUUUACAUCCGGACUCUAUUUUUGACGUUCAUGUGCUCGUUGGAAUCACGAUAACGGCGCCGAUGCACCUGUGGUAUUACAUAUUGAUUUUGAGCACUUUGGAAAACAACUUUUUUCACUCUCCGAAAUGCCCAAGUCUGGUGUCUCGAUGUCCUUCGUUUGGAUCCUUUUCAUUGUGUUAAGUGCGUGAGAGUUCCACAUUACGUACAAACACACAAAGAAAAAUAAUACUAAUAAGAAUAAAUAUUAUGCAAUGCUCGCGCUGAAAAUGUUAAAUACUGCCAUACUGGAGAUCAUGCAUAUGGACAUGCAAUUGUGGCUCAAUGGCACAUGCUAUACGGAGAUAAUAGGCGACAAAUGAGCUCUAAACGUGUGUAAAAAUAGGUGCCAUCACUUGGAUCAACGAGAUAUUAUCUUGUGGAACACCUUCCAUCCUUUUGAAGGGUGUGCCUAGUAGGUAAUUCCAAUGAAAACAUGGGAUCCACCAGGGUGACCCACCGUUACCACUUCUAUUUUUCUUGGCAGUGGAUUUACUUCAGUCUAUCCUCAGUGACAUGUAUCAUCGUGGGGAGCUCUUUUUUUCAACCCAUCUCAUGAUCUAGACUCUCCAAUUGUGCAGUAUGUUAAUGAUAUGUUGUUGAUUAUGCUGGAUAUUGAUUCUCAGCUUAUUGACCUAAAAGAAAUGUUACAACUUUUGUCUAAAUCCACUUGCUUGAAAGUGAUUUUUUGUAAAUCCUCCAUGGUUCUUAUAAAUGUGAUUGACGAUGAAGCUUCUCAUUGUCCAGUUUGUUUGAGUGUUAACAGGGUAAGAUGCCUUUCACUUACCUGGUUUACCUAUGGUUAACACUAGGCCCAAGAUCUAGGACUUAAUGCCUUUGGUUGAUAUAAUGAAAAUGAAAUUGGCAGCUAGCUCUUCUAUGCUCUCACAAGGUGCUAAAUUGAAACUUUUGAGGUCUGCCAUUUCAUCUAUGCCGAUAUACUAUCUUUGUAGUCUCUAGACUCCCCCUGGAAUUAAACAACUGGAGAGAAUUGAGUAGAAUAUCUCUGGCGUGGCAAUGCUGAUAGCUCAAAUCAACCAUUCGUGAUAUGUCAUCUGGUAUGUAAACCAAAGGAGAAUGGUGGUAUCGGUAUCAUUAACCGUCAUAUUCAAGACCAACCUUUGCUUACAAAACACUUGCGCAAAUUUCAUAAUAAAGCUCAUAUUCCAUGGGUAACUUUGAUAUAGAUUUCUUACUAUCAUGGAGUCAUACCCGACGCAACAGUCCUUUGUGGCUCUUUCUGAUGGAGGGAUAUUUUGGAACUUAACGAUCAGUACAUGGCAAUCUCUUCAAUCAAAGUUAAUAUUGGCAACUUUGCCUUGUUCUUGUCUGAUGCUUGGUUGAUUGAGGGAUUUUCUCUACCUCUUCGACAUCGUUUGGAUAGGCUCUUUUCAUUGCCUUGGAUGACAAAAUUUCUGUUAAAGAUUUUAAAGAAACCCCUGAUCGGGCCACUCUUUUGCACCAGCCAUUUUUUGCUGAGGCGAUGGAUGAAUCGCAACCUCUGGAUGGUUGGUUACACAGCCUUCAGCGAAACCAAACCCUGCCUGAUGUUUGUUCUUGGUAAGGAGGGUCAUUUUCCGCCAAAAUCUUCUACUGCAUGAUGCACAAGCAUAUGCCCACCGAUGAACCUUGCAAAUGGAUAUGACAGAGCACCAUGAAGAUCAAGAUCUUUGCUUAGAUCCUAUUAUUUUAUCAGUUGAACGCUCGGAACAUGCUCCUUAGAAGGCACUGACAUUCUCCUCGGGAUGAAACCCAUUGUGCUCACAUGAGCAAAGAGACCACUUGCUUUUCUCCUAUAAUUUUAGUCAAAGGAUUUGGACUUAUUUACAGAUUGAUUGGAGCCCCAGACGAAACACUAGACAAUGUAUUGAUGCUGCAUGUAGACGAUUUGGACACCCUUUCUUCUUUGAAGUGGUGUUCUCUUGGAACUAAUAUUUGUAUUAUUACAAAUGGCAAGAUCUUCACAGGGGAGAGGCCAUCCUUUCCUGCUUGGUGUUGUAAAUUUGUACAUGACAUCUCUUCUUGUAGAUAGAGUUAAUGCUUACCAAAGCUCCUGGAUUGGAUUAGUAAUCUCCAUUAGAUAAAUAGGUAGGUAGGAAAGUGUUGUUUUUCCUUUUUUCUUGGUUCCCUUUGUAAACAUUUUUUGCUUGCUUUUGUUUUGAUGGAAUAAAGGACUGGAGCUGUUGCUCCAUACUAGUUACAAAAAUCCGAGUUUUUUCUUGAUUUUUCACUAGUAUGAUUACACUCCUUCACAAAGGAGCUCAUGCAAUGCAUGUUGGAGAUUUAUUUCAAUAGUUCCAUAACAUGUUUUGAAUGCUGUUGCUAUCUAGUUCAGUUAGAUGCUUAUUGUCCAGACCAACAAAAGUUCUUUAGUAAGGGUCUCUACAAGAAUAUGUUUCAUCCUAGUCUACUAGCAAAAACCGAUGUAGAUGCUGGUAGUGACAUGGAAAAGAAACCAUAAUCUUUUUGUAUUGAUAAGUAAAGAAACUGAAAUUUGCAACUGCAAAUCAGGGGAUCUUAAUGUCAAAUACUGAAUGCUUCCACAACUAGUUGUGAGACAUAUUCAUUGCAGUGCCAAAUAAAGAAACUUUUCCUGAAUUAAUAACAGCAAGACAAUGGUCCGCGUGUUUGUAUAUAAUAAAUAUCACACAGGUUUUGUAUAUGUGUAGCCGGUUCUAGAAUUUACAUAUGCAUGCUCGAGAACCUAUGUUCGUACAUACACACACAGACCAUAUAGAAUGAAAAAUAUGCUCUGGUCGUCCAGCAGAGUGGUGGACAAAAGUUAAGUUCACAAAAGACCUUCAUACAUAGGCCAUUGUUUCAACUCGUAGUUUAGGCCUUGCCAGACUCCUCGCAACCCGGUGGCCUGAAGGCGAUGAAGCUGACGCACUGCACCUGGCGCAGGUUGUCGAAGCCGAUGACGCGGACAUAGGCGUCAGGGUACUCCUUCUUGACCUCCUCCACCUCGUUGAGCACCUGUGUGGCGUCGGUGCACCCGAACAUAGGCAGCUUCCACAUUGUCCAGUAUCGACCAUCGUAGUACCCGGGGGAGCUGUUGUGCUCACGGAAAACGAAGCCAACCUUGCUGAACUCGAGGCAGGGCACCCACUUGGAGCGGAUCAAGUAGUCGACCUGCUUCAGGAGGGCCUCCGUGGAGAGGGGUGGCAAGUAAGACAGGGUCUCGAACUUCUUGAUGCCCUCAAUCGGCCACACCUGAAUGAAUAGAAUGCGCAGAUGCUCAAUACUUGGUGCUAAGUAAAUUAAUUGUACCAACAAUUCUAGAAAAAUCUGUUGAUGAGCAAAAAAUUGCUCCUGAUGGACAGGUCUCAUAUGCAUUGUUCGUUUGUCCACAAUGAAGAAAGCUUAAGGGUAGCCCUUAAACUGAUGGGCACUCUGAAGGUACUAAGAUAAUUUUAUCUAGUCCAUGCUGCAAUAAAAAGUAUUUCCAUUCACUAAGUUAUGAGUUGAUUGCUUUUACAUACGGAUCCCAGCUUAGGGACAAGGUUGAAUGAGCAUCCAAAGCCAAAUGGUUUCCAUAGGCAACAAAACAAACAGAUAAUAAGGUUUCGGAAUAAUCUGUUGACCAAAUUAUGUUAUAAAUUGGGGAUGUUCUGCAAGUGAAUUACUUGUACUGCCAAAGAAACUCAUGUCAGUUUAAUUAGUGACUGACAUACCUGCAUGCACCUGAUCCUUCCGCCGUUGCUGACGCUGCCGAGGCCGGCGCUGCUGGAGCGGCGGCUGACGGGCAGGCCCGCGGUGGACUUGAGACCCUGGAAGGGUGCGACGGAGGUGGCCGAGGAAGCCAUCACAGUGGGGGCCAUGGUGUUGGAGGAGGGAAGGUGGCAGGCUAAGCUUGAGGCCCCCAUUGCUGGGUCACCACGGUAUAUAUAGCCAUAUAUGGCCAGCUCCUAUCUUUAAUCAAGAUGUGGAAGGGGUGGCUGGCGUUCGUUGGUUGCCUGGUUUCCUUAUCUCUCCGGAUUAGUGUAAGAGGCAUGGCCGUUGGAUGAGUUGUGUGUGCCGAAAAUUUCAGUCGUCCAUGCCAUUGUGUGAUUGCCACAAACCCUUUUUCCAGCCUUGCAUGUACUGUAUUAUUCUUUUCGUUUUAUUUUGCUAAAGGUAACGCUUGAAAGGUGCAGGAAGAACUUCCUUUGCUGAUUUGCGAUUUAAGUUGAGUGGCACAGGCAUAACGAAUGUUAUAGUACAUCCUUUAUCCACUUCUAUAAUACAAACUUGUCAAUCAAUUAUGCUUGCUUGUAACCUUUGGCGCUUCAUUUUAUAAAAUUUUAUACAGGUAACGUACACAUUUGCUGCAUGUGUGAUGUGUGUCAUCAUGACCUUUAUGUCUUUUAUUCACAAUUAUUCAUUGGAACACAAAAGUGUUGUACUGUUUUCUACGCCUAAUCAUUUACAUGCCCUGGAGGAUUUUUAGUAUUGGAAAUGCUAUUUAAUUGGGUGUCCAAGCAAGGUAGAACUUUGUUCUAAUCCACGAGCAAAAGUUUUAGAUCCCUCUGUUGUCCAUUUACUCAGUUCGUGUCGGCCCCAGUGAACUCAUAAAUUACAUAUGGUGAGUCCAUCAUGAUUUUGUAUCAUCGUUGAAUCUAGCCCACAAAAAAGGCAGAUGUAUAUUCAUUCAUUUCAUGGUGAUGAAGCAACCUGCAAAAUGAUGCGAUCGACCAUGACCACUCAGUGAUAUGGCAAUCAUGUAGACGGACAUUGUGAUCAUCUAGUCAUUUAAGAUAGAUGUCGUGAUCUUCUUGUGUGACCGUCUCAUAGAUUUGAGCUGCAAAUCGAAUCUUAUAUUCUUCCAAAAAAAAUUCUGAAUUUCCUGCAUGUAAGAUGAUAAAGCUGAGUUUGUAAUUAAUUAUUUUUUGUGAAUCCUUAAUGAUAAUUAACACGACCCAGAUAUUACAAAAUAUCCAUAAUUAUCAUGACUGAAUCAAUAAAUUACUAUUGCAGAAUGAACCUUCCAUAGGCCCCUCCACUUGGGCCCGCCGGUGGAGAGAUUCAUCACUCAUGGGCCACAAAACGCCAGCCAUGCAGGAGGACCUUCACUAACGGGCCCUUAAGUUGGCAUCAAUGGAGGGUCACCCAUGGGGCCCAUAGAUCCAACUGAAUGGACGGUCCAUCUCUACUGACGGUCGUACCACACCACUCGUCAAUGUUGGGUGGCCCGUCGGUGCUGAAUUAAGGUAUUUCUAUCUACUGGAGACGAAGUGGCCUUAUAUGCGCUUUCUCUUUUCUCCUAAACAAAACCAUGCCGCCGCCCCCAAUCCCUUCAUCCCCAACAUCAUCACCACCCUAUCCAAUGUUUUCGUCUCCUUUCAUGUGUGCCCCCUCCUUCUCCCACAUUGAUCUGGUCCAACGCUACCGUCUCAUCCCGCGAUUAUCGUCAUCUACUCUUCGGUUACUCGUGACGGCGCGGGUUGUGGCUUCCCGCUUGCUCUCUCGUAAGAAUGGUUGGGUAAACCCCAAGUGUAAGGAUGAAGUAACCUAGUAAUAAGUAUUGUCCUCAAUACGUUUCUCAAACCAGUAGGAAUUUCUUCUACAACCCAAAUCCUCGGUACCUGCACACCAAACACAAAACAAUCUUGCCCCAACGUUUCAAGAAGGUUGUCAAUCUUCUUGUCCUACUAGUUACAAGGAUUAGUUGUUAGUUGAAAGCAAAUAUCGGUUGCUAAGUAGCCUUAGUGCGGUUCGCACCUUUAGACCUGCCAUGGCACUGUCAACACUAUACUCGCCAUGCUUAGGGUUCACACUUUUUAUAUACACCAAGAUCAGCCUAGGUGCUUCGUGUCGUACUAGCACUAAUCCAGCCAUCAAUAUAAAGGAAAUGCUACCCAUAGUUCCAAAGCUUAGUUAUUCAAAUAUGAGUCAGAUAUGGUACUAAUAUUAGUUUAAAAAAGGCACAUGUAGUUGGUCAGCCAAUGUUCCUUCUUGAGUUUCAAAAUACACGUACGCCACUUAAAGAGAGACAUGAGUGAAUAGUAUUUCUUUGUGCCAUCUUCUCCAUCAUGGAUGGGCAACGAACAUUGCGUUGUAUAGAAAGAAGAGUUAUAUCCACCUUUUACAUAGAUUAUGAUUUGCCUAAUUUCGAAGCUUAUUUGUUCAAAUAUGAGUUUGAUAUGGUACUGAUAUUAAUUAAACAAACACACAUUUAAUUGUCAGCUAAUGUUCCUACUUCAGUUUUGAAAUGCAUGUCCGCCCCUUAUAGAGAGACAGAAGAGGUUUGUAUUUCUCCAGGCGCUCUGGUCAUCAUGGUUGAGGGAUGAACUUUGUAUAUCGUAUAGGUUGAAGCUAUCAUCUGCCAACAAUCAUCACUUUUGGAGAUCUCAACAGGGAGCCUUUUUUAAGUAGUAGGGUCAUAUUAUAUUAAUGCACGCACCAAAUUACAACACACAUAGCAUCCCUCGGCAGACUUCUAGAGAUAGUACGCAUGGGUCUAUAAGGACGCACUAUUGGGGUAGAAUCCGCAAUGCAUUUGUGACACCCCGAUUGAGAGAACCGGAGGUCCUCGUGUUCCAGCCCAGAGAUCCAUGUCUUCUGGAACAUGACUAUAACUUGGUACAUGUAGACCAAAAUAAAUAAGUACUUAUGUACAAUAGCGUCUUAAUAGUACAAUCCUCUUGCACAGCAGGUGGACACGUCUAAGUGUCAGAAGCUCAAGGGCUUUAUUCUAUGAGUGACUUAAGGAAGUACUAAAGACGGAAAUAAUACUAAUGACACAACGGAAGACGGGGUACCGGCGGGGCUCCAAUCCAAAGAGACACUGCUGGGACACCAUCUAGUCCAGGUACAUGAACUCUUCGGGAAACUCUUCUAUUGGCUCUCCAGUAUCUGGAAUGAUAAGGCAGGUGAGUACUUUGAAUGUACUCACAAGCCCACAAAUAAUCCAAAGCAAGCAAGAACAGAACAAAUAAACAUAGCAACGAAGUAAAGAUUAGUGAAGCUACUACUAUCAAGACUACUCCAUAAACUUCUCAUUUGCUUGUUUAACGUCCACUGGACCUCUUCCUGGUGAAGGAAAUAUGCCCUAGAGGCAAUAAUAAAGUUAUUAUUUAUUUCCUUAUAUCAUGAUAAAUAUUUAUUAUUCAUGCUAGAAUUGUAUUAACCGGAAACAUAAUACAUGUGUGAAUAUAUAGACAAACAGAGUGUCACUAGUAUGCCUCUACUUGACUAGCUCGUUAAUCAAAGAUGGUUAUGUUUCCUAGCCAUAGACAUAAGUUGUCAUUUGAUUAACGAGAUCACCUCAUUAGGAGAAUGACGUGAUUGACUUGACCCAUUCCGUUAGCUUAGCACCCGAUCGUUUAGUAUGUUGCUAUUGCUUUCUUCAUGACCUAUACAUGUUCCUCUGACUAUGAGAUUAUGCAACUCCCGUUUACCGGAGGAACACUUUGUGUGCUACCAAACGUCACAAUGUAAAUGGGUGAUUAUAAAGGUGCUCUACAGGUGUCUCCAAAGGUACUUGUUGGGUUGGCGUAUUUCGAGUUUAGGAUUUGUCACUCCGAUUGUCGGAGAGGUAUCUCUGGGCCCACUCGGUAAUGCACAUCACUAUAAGCCUUGCAAGCAUUGUGACUAAUAAGUUAGUUGCGGGAUGAUGUGUUACGGAACGAGUAAAGAGACUUGCCGGUAACGAGAUUGAACUAGGUAUCGAGAUACCGACGAUCGAAUCUCGGGCAAGUAACAUACUGAUGACAAAGGGAACAACGUAUGUUGUUAUACGGUCUGACCGAUAAAGAUCUUCGUAGAAUAUGUGGGAGCCAAUAUGGGCAUCCAGGUCCCGCUAUUGGUUAUUGACCGAAGACGUGUCUCGGUCAUGUCUACAUAGUUCUCGAACCCGUAGGGUCCGCACGCUUAAAGUUACGAUGACAGUUUUAUUAUGAGUUUAUGUAUGUUGAUGCACCGAAGGAGUUCGGAGUCCCGGAUGAGAUCGGGGACAUGACGAGGAGUCUCGAAAUGGUCGAGACGUAAAGAUCGAUAUAUUGGACGACUAUAUUCGGACUUCGGAAAGGUUCUGAGUGAUUCGGGUAUUUUUCGGAGUACCGGAGAGUUACGGGAAUACGUAUUGGGCCUUAUUGGGCCAUACGGGAAAGAAGAAAAAGGGCCUCAAGGGUGGCCGCACCCCUCCCCUUGGUCUGGUCCGAAUUGGACUAGGGAAGCGGGGCGCCCCCUUCCUUCCUUCUCUUUUUCCCUUCCUCUUUUCCUAUUCCAUAUGGGAGGUGGAAUCCUACUAGGACUAGGGAGUCCUAGUAGGACUCCACACUUGGUGCGCCCCCUCCUAGGGCCGGCCUCCUCCUCCCUUGCUCCUUUAUAUACGGGGGCAGGGGGGCACCCCAGAGACACAACAAUUGAUCCUUGAGAUCUUUUAGCCGUGUGCGGUGCCCCCCUCCACCAAAUUACACCUCGAUAAUAUCAUUGCGGAGCUUAGGCAAAGCCCUGCGUCGGUAGAACAUCAUCAUCGUCACCACGCCGUCGUGCUGACGAAACUCUCCCUCAACACUCGGCUGGAUCGGAGUUCGAGGGACGUCAUCGAGCUGAACGUGUGCAGAACUCGGAGGUGCCGUGCGUUUGGUACUUGAUCGGUCGGAUCGUGAAGACGUACGACUACAUCAACCACGUUGUGAUAACGCUUCCGCUGUCGGUCUACGAGGGUACGUGGACAACACUCUCCCCUCUCGUUGCUAUGCAUCGCCAUGAUCUUGCGUGGGCGUAGGAAUUUUUUUGAAAUUACUACGUUCCCCAACAGUGGCAUCCGAGCCUGGUUUUAUGCGUUGAUGCUAUGCACGAGUAGAACACAAGUGAGUUGUGGGCGAUAUAAGUCAUACUGCUUACCAGCAUGUCAUACUUUGGUUCAGCGGUAUUGUGAGAUGAAGCGGCCCGGACCGACAUUACGCGUACGCUUACGCGAGACUAGUUUCACCGUUCGGAGCACUCGUUGCUUAAAGGUGACUGGCGGGUGUCUGUCUCUCUCACUUUAGUUGAACCGAGUGUGGCUACGCCCGGUCCUUGCGAAGGUUAAAACAGCACCAACUUGACAAACUAUCGUUGUGGUUUUGAUGCGUAGGUAAGAACGGUUCUUGCUAAGCCCGUAGCAGCCACGUAAAACUUGCAACAACAAAGUAGAGGACGUCUAACUUGUUUUUGCAGGGCAUGUUGUGAUGUGAUAUGGUCAAGACAUGAUGUGAUAUAAUGUGUUGUAUGAGAUGAUCAUGUUUUGUAACCGAGUUAUCGGCAACUGGCAGGAGCCAUAUGGUUGUCGCUUUAUUGUAUGAGAUGCAAUCGCCAUGUAAUAGUUUUACUUUAUCACUAAACGGUAGCGAUAGUCGUAAAAGCAAUAAGUUGGCGAGACGACAACGAUGCUACGAUGGAGAUCAAGGUGUCGCGCCGGUGACGAUGGUGAUCAUGACGGUGCUUCGGAGAUGGAUAUCACAAGCACGGUGCUUCGGAGAUGGAGAUCACAAGCACAAGAUGAUGAUGGCCAUAUCAUAUCACUUAUAUUGAUUGCAUGUGAUGUUAAUCCUUUAUGCAUCUUAUCUUGCUUUGAUUGACGGUAGCAUUAUAAGAUGAUCUCUCACUAAAAUUUCAAGAUAAAAGUGUUCUCCCUGAGUAUGCACCGUUGCAAAAGUUCUUCGUGCUGAGACACCACGUGUUAAUCGGGUGUGAUAGGCUCUACGUUCAAAUACAACGGGUGCAAAACAGUUGCACACGCGGAAUACUCAGGUUAAACUUGACGAGCCUAGCAUAUACAGAUAUGGCCUCGGAACACAGAGACCGAAAGGUCGAGCGUGAAUCAUAUAGUAGAUAUGAUCAACGUAGUGAUGUUCACCAUUGAAACUACUCCAUCUCACGUGUUAAUCGGAUAUGGUUUAGUUGCUUUGGAUCACGUAAUCACUUAGAUGAUUAGAGAGAUGUCUAUCUAAGUGGGAGUUCUUAAGUAAUAUGAUUAAUUGAACUUAAAUUUAUCAUGAACUUAGUCCUGAUAGUAUUUUGCAAAUUAUGUUGUAGAUCAAUAGCUCGCGUUGUUGCUUCCCUGUGUUUAUUUUUUGUUCCUAGAGAAAAAUUAUGUUGAAAGAUGUUAGUAGCAAAGAUGCGGAUUGGAUCCGUGAUCUGAGGAUUAUCCUCAUUGCUGCACAGAAAAAUUAUGUCCUUGAUGCACCGCUAGGUGACAGACCUAUUGCAGGAGCAGAUGCAGACGUUAUGAACGUUUGGCUAGCUCAAUAUGAUGACUACUUGAUAGUUUAGUGCACCAUGCUUAACGACUUAGAAUCGGGACUUCAAAGACGUUUUGAACGUCAUGGACCAUAUGAGAUGUUCCAGGAGUUGAAGUUAAUAUUUCAAGCAAAUACCCGAGUUGAGAGAUAUGAAAUCUCCAACAAGUUCUAUAGCAAAAAGAUGGAGGAGAAUCGCUCAACUAGUGAGCAUGUGCUCAGAUUGUCUGGGUACUACAAUCGCUUGAAUCAAGUGGGAGUUUAUCUUCCAGAUAAAAUAGUGAUUGACAGAAUUCUCUAGUCACCAUCACCAAGUUAGUAGAACUUCGUGAUGAACUAUGGUAUGCAAGGGAUGACGAAAGUAAUUCCCGAGCUCUUCGUGAUGCUGAAAUCGAUGAAGGUAGAAAUCAAGAAAAACAUCAAGUGUUGAUGGUUGACGAGACCACUUCAAGUGUUGAUGGUUGACGAGACCGCUAGUUUCAAGAAAAGGGCAAAGGGAAAAAGGGGAACUUCAAAAAGAACGGCAAGCAAGUUGCUGCUCAAGUGAAGAAGCCUAAGUCUGGUCCUAAGCCUGAGACUAAGUACUUCUACUGCAAAGGGACUGGUCACUGGAAGCGGAACUACCCCAACUAUUUGGUGGAUAAGAAGGAUGGCAAAGUGAACAAAGGUAUAUUUGAUAUACAGAUUAUUGAUGUGUACUUUACUAGUGUUUAUAGCAAUCCCUCGGUAAUUGAUACUGGUUCAAUUGCUAAGAGUAGUAACUCGAAACGGGAGUUGCAGAAUAAACAGAGACUAGUAAAAGUGAACAAAGGUAUAUUUGAUAUACAGAUUAUUGAUGUGUACUUUACUAGUGUUUAUAGCAACCCCUCGGUAAUUGAUACUGGUUCAGUUGCUAAAGAGUAGUAACUCGAAAACGGGAGUUGCAGAAUAAACAGAGACUAGUAAAAGGCGAGGUGACGAUGUGUGUUGGAAGUAGUUCCAAGAUUGAUAUGAUCAUCAUCGCACACUCCCUGUACUUUUGGGAUUAGUGUUGACACUAAAUAAGUGUUAUUUGGUGUUUGCGUUGAGCAUGAAUAUGAUCUGAUCAUGUUUAUUGCAAUACGGUUAUUCAUUUAAGUUAGAGAACAAUUGUUGUUCUGUUUACAUGAAUAAAACCUUUAUGGUCAUACACACCAACGAAAAUGGUUUGUUGGAUCUCGAUCGUAGUGAUACACAUAUUCAUAAUAUUGAAGCCAAAAGAUGCAAAGUUAAUAAUGAUAGUGCAACUUAUUUGUGGUACUGCCGUUUAGGUCAUAUUGGUGUAAAGCGCGUGAAGAAACUCCAUACUGAUGGGAUUUUGGAAUCACUUGAUUAUGAAUCACUUGAUGCUUGCGAACCGUGCCUCAUGGGCAAGAUGACUAAAACGCCGUUCUCCAGAACUAUGGAGAGAGCAACAGAUUUGUUGGAAAUCAUACAUACAGAUGUAUGUGGCCCGAUGAAUAUUGAGGCUCGUAGCAGGUAUCAUUAUUUUCUGACCUUCACAGAUGAUUUGAGCAGAUAUGGGUAUAUCUACUUAAUGAAACAGAAGUCUGAAACAUUUGAAAAGUUCAUAUAAUUUCAGAGUGAAGCGAAAAUCAUCGUAACAAGAAAAUAAAGUUUCUACGAUUUGAUCGUGGAGAAGAGUAUUUUAGUUACGAGUUUGGCCUUCAGUUAAAACAAUGUGAAAUAGUUUCACUACUCACGCCACCUGGAACACCACGGUGUAAUGGUGUGUCCGAAACAUCGUAACCGUACUUUAUUAGAUAUGGUGCGAUAUAUGAUGUCUCUUACCGAUCUACCACUAUCGUUUUAGGGUUAUGCAUUAGAGACAGCUACAUUCACGUUAAAUAGGGUAUCAUCUAAAUCCGUUGAGAUGACGUCUUAUGAACUGUGGUUUGGCAAGAAACCAAAGUUGUCGUGUCUUAAAGUUUGGGGUUGCGAUGCUUAUGUGAAAAAGUUUCAUCCUGAUAAGCUCAAACCCAAAUCGGAGAAAUGUGUCUUCAUAGGAUACCCAAAGGAGACAGUUGGGUACACCUUCUAUCACAGAUCCGAAGACAAGACAUUCGUUGCUUAGUAUGGAUCCUUUCUAGAGAAGGAGUUUCUCUCGAAAGAAGUGAGUGGGAGGAAAGUAGAACUUGAUGAGGUAACUGUACCUGCUCCCUUAUUGGAAAGUAGUUCAUCACAGAAAUCUGUUCCUGUGACUUCUACACCAAUUAGUGAGGAAGUUAAUGAUGAUGAUCAUGUAACUUCAGAUCAAGUUACUACCAAACCUCGUAGGUAAACCAGAGUAAGAUCCGCACCAGAGUGGUACGGUAAUCCUGUUCUGGAGGUUAUGUUACUAGACCAUGACGAACCUACGAACUAUGAAGAAGCGAUGGUGAGCCCAGAUUCCGCAAAAUGGCUUGAGGCCAUGAAAUCUGAGAUGAGAUCCAUGUAUGAGAACAAAGUGUGGACUUUGGUUGACUUGCCCGAUGAUCGGCAAGCAAUUGAGAAUAAAUGGAUCUUCAAGAGGAAGACGGAUGCUGAUAGUAGUGUUACUAUCUACAAAGCUAGAAUUGUCGCAAAAAAGGUUUUCGACAAGUUCAAAGUGUUGACUACGAUGAAAGUUUCUCACUCGUAUCUAUGCUUAAGUCUGUCCGAAUCAUGUUAGCAAUUGCCGCAUUUUAUAAAAUAUGGCAAAUGGAUAAACAAAACUGCAUUCCUUAAAGGAUUUAUUAAAGAAGAGUUGUAUAUGAUGCAACCAGAAUGUUUUGUCAAUCCUAAAGGUGCUAACAAAAUAUGCAAGCUCCAGCGAUCCAUCAAUGGACUGGUGCAAGCAUCUCGGAGUUGGAAUAUACGCUUUGAUAAGUUGAUCAAAGCAUAUAGUUGUAUACAGACUUGCGGUGAAGCCUGUAUUUACAAGAAAGUGAGUGGGAGCACUACAGCAUUUCUGAUAAGUAUAUGUGAAUGACAUAUUGUUGAUCGGAAAUAAUGUAGAAUUAUUCUGCAAAGCAUAAAGGAGUGUUUGAAAGGAGUUUUUCAAAGAUAGACCUCGGUGAAGCUGCUUACAUAUUGAGCAUCAAGAUCUAUAGAGAUAGAUGAAGACGCUUGAUAAGUUUUUCAAUGAGUACAUACCUUAACAAGAUUUUGAAGUAGUUCAAAAUAGAACAGUCAAAGAAAAGAGUUCUUGCCUGUGUUACAAGGUGUGAAAUUGAGUAAAGACUCAAAGCCCGACCACGGCAAAAGAUAGGAAGAGAAUGAAAGUCAUUCCCUAUGCCUUGGCCAUAGGUUCUAUAAAGUAUGUCAUGCUUUGUACCAGAUCUAUUGUAUACCCUACACUGAUUUUGGCAAGGGAGUACAAUAGUGAUCUAGGAGUAGAUCACUGGACAGCGGUCAAAAUUAUCCUUACUGGAAUAAGGAUAUGUUUCUCGAUUAUGGAAGUGACAAAAGGCUCGUCGUAAAAGGUUACGUCGAUGCAAGUUUUGACACUAAUCUAGAUGACUCUAAGUCUCGGUCUAGAUACAUAUUGAAAGUGGGAGCAAUUAGCUAGAGUAGCUCCAUGCAGAGCAUUGUAGACAUAGAAAUUUGCAAAAUACUUACGGAUCUGAAUGUGACAGACCCGUUGACUAAAAUUAUCUCACAAGCAAAACAUGAUCACACCUUAGUACUCUUUGGGUGUUAAUCACAUAGCGAUGUGAACUAGAUUACUGACUCUAGUAAACCCUUUGGGUGAUGGUCACAUGACGAUGUGAACCAUGGGUGUUAAUCACAUGGUGAUGUGAACUAUUCAUGUUAAAUCACAUGGCGAUGUGAACUAGAUUAUUGACUCUAGUGCAAGUGGGAGACUGAAGGAAAUAUGCCCUAGAGGCAAUAAUAAAGUUAUUAUUUAUUUCCUUAUAUCAUGAUAAAUGUUUAUUAUUCAUGCUAGAAUUGUAUUAACCGGAAACAUAAUACAUGUGUGAAUAUAUAGACAAACAGAGUGUCACUAGUAUGCCUCUACUUGACUAGCUCGUUAAUCAAAGAUGGUUAUGUUUCCUAGCCAUAGACAUAAGUUGUCAUUUGAUUAACGAGAUCACCUCAUUAGGAGAAUGACGUGAUUGACUUGACCCAUUCCGUUAGCUUAGCACCCAAUCGUUUAGUAUGUUGCUAUUGCUUUCUUCAUGACCUAUACAUGUUCCUCUGACUAUGAGAUUAUGCAACUCUCGUUUACCGGAGGAACACUUUGUGUGCUACCAAACGUCACAACGUAAAUGGGUGAUUAUAAAGGUGCUCUAUAGGUGUCUCCAAAGGUACUUGUUGGGUUGGCGUAUUUCGAGAUUAGGAUUUGUCACUCCGAUUGUCGGAGAGGUAUCUCUGGGCCCACUCGGUAAUGCACAUCACUAUAAGCCUUGCAAGCAUUGUGACUAAUGAGUUAGUUGCGGGAUGAUGUGUUACGGAACGAGUAAAGAGACUUGCCGGUAACGAGAUUGAACUAGGUAUCGAGAUACCGACGAUCGAAUCUCGGGCAAGUAACAUACUGAUGACAAAGGGAACAACGUAUGUUGUUAUGCGGUCUGACCGAUAAAGAUCUUCGUAGAAUAUGUGGGAGCCAAUAUGGGCAUCCAGGUCCCGCUAUUGGUUAUUGACCGGAGACGUGUCUCGGUCAUGUCUACAUAGUUCUCGAACCCGUAGGGUCCGCACGCUUAAAGUUACGAUGACAGUUUUAUUAUGAGUUUAUGUAUGUUGAUGUACCGAAGGAGUUCGGAGUCCCGGAUGAGAUCGGGGACAUGAUGAGGAGUCUCGAAAUGGUCGGGACGUAAAGAUCGAUAUAUUGGACGACUAUAUUCGGACUUCGGAAAGGUUCUGAGUGAUUCGGGUAUUUUUCGGAGUACCGGAGAGUUACGGGAAUACGUAUUGGGCCUUUUUGGGCCAUACGGGAAAGAAGAAAAAGGGCCUAAGGGUGGCCGCACCCCUCCCCUUGGUCUGGUCCGAAUUGGACUAGGGAAGGGGGGCGCCCCCUUCCUUCCUUCUCUUUUUCCCUUCCUCUUUUCCUAUUCCAUAUGGGAGGUGGAAUCCUACUAGGACUAGGGAGUCCUAGUAGGACUCCACACUUGGUGCGCCCCUCCUAGGGCCGGCCUCCUCCUCCCUUGCUCCUUUAUAUACGGGGGCAGGGGGGCACCCCAGAGACACAACAAUUGAUCCUUGAGAUCUUUUAGCCGUGUGCGGUGCCCCCCUCCACCAAAUUACACCUCGAUAAUAUCAUUGCGGAGCUUAGGCAAAGCCCUGCGUCGGUAGAACAUCAUCAUCGUCACCACGCCGUCGUGCUGACGAAACUCUCCCUCAACACUCGGCUGGAUCGGAGUUCGAGGGACGUCAUCGAGCUGAACGUGUGCAGAACUCGGAGGUGCCAUGCGUUCGGUACUUGAUCGGUCGGAUCGUGAAGACGUACGACUACAUCAACCGCGUUGUGAUAACGCUUCCGCUGUCGGUCUACGAGGGUACGUGGACAACACUCUCCCCUCUCGUUGCUAUGCAUCACCAUGAUCUUGCGUGUGCGUAGGAAUUUUUUUGAAAUUACUACGUUCCCCAACACCUGGCACGAGUCCUGCUCAAACGACUCAUCGACAUAACUUACCAGUUACCACAGCUAUUAGAGUUUAAAGUAAAGGAAUUUUGGUGCUUGGUCAAAUAAUGUGACCUAACACAAACGGUGUCCCAUUGCCAGGGACUCGGCUAUUCGAAUAGUUUGAACACACACUCUGUAGAGGUCACACAGUUUACCCACACCAUAGACUCUUUGUCUAACUAUUCUCAUUCAUAGCAUGGCACUCUAACUAUGCCUCCGACCUCCCGCGGGCUUGCCCUGGCAGAGAGAAUCUGGGUCCUUUCCACCCCGUGUUGCACCACUUGUAUUCCCUUGGGAAUCUUUUCUCUUAAGCUCAUCCACAGACCCUGGCUCUCUUGACUGAAUGGCAACUUCCAAGCCAGAGGAAGUCUACACAUUCCAUCUUCCCUCUUCGGAAACACACGAAAGAAACAUAACUACAAACGUAAUAAAGCCCUCCCAUUCGGACAGAUGUGCUUGUAAUGAGGAUGUUCGGCUUCGUGGCAGUUGGAUUGACCAGCUAUUUAAAGUUGGGUUAACAAGGAAAGUAAAACCGUGACUUUGUAAGCUACUGAAAUCCACAACUUGUUAUCCUACUAGGGUGAAGUAUUCACGAGGAUUCAUCAUCCUAAGUAAAGUCUUUCCCCGAGAUUCUUCGUGAACGUUGCUACCUAUUUUGCUUAUGAUUCAUGUUGGCAAAAUAAUUACCGGUUAUGAGUCAUAGUUAAACUUCUAUUCUACUAGGACCAAAUCAAGGCAUCCUUUAUAGUGACUCACUAUGCUAUUUCAACCACAACAAACUUAACAUAAGCAAAGGGAAGCAACAAACAACAUUGAAAGAAAAGUAAUGUUGGAAAAGAAAUGUAAGUUGAACCCAUGGCCUUGCAAUGCCAUCAAGCAAAUGGAGGUGGUGGCUUGCCAUGCUCAAAUGGAGUAGCAAAGCAUUCUUUGUCUUCACCUCCUGGAUUAUUUCCUUCUGGAAAUAAUUUAAAAAGCAAAAUACAAUAAAGCAAAUAAGUCAAAAGUGUGUCUAGCAGCAUCUAGACAAGUCAAAUAAAUCUCAAAUUAUUCCCACAGAAGGAGAAUAAUAUAAGAAAAGUAAUGCAAAAAGAAUAAACUCAUUUGGAGUUAUGGUUUAAGAGAUAUUACUCAUCACAGCUUAGUCAACAGAAUAUAAGUAAAACAAAAAAUAGCCUGAAAUAGAAAAUCCACCAAGCGGCCACGUCGAAGGCGUAUUUCAGAAAUACGCCCCCACUUACGUACCAGUUCGGCAGGGGUUGUAUCACUGACGGGUGGGGCCAUCCUGUCAGUUUUCUUUUUUAAACACCCGGCCGAGGUGUGGUGUUCUAGCGAGGUCUCACCGGCGACUACAGAGCGCUAGGGCUCGAACGAGUGGGAUCACCUUUUGAGAGGUAUACGCAUUUAUUGUGAUUUGUUAGAAUACUCUAUGUGCUUCACUUAUAUCUUUUGAGCUAGGCAGUUGCUCUGGUGCUUCAUUAUAUCUUUUAGAGCACCGUGGUGGUUAUAUUUUAUAGAAAUGAUUGCACUCUCAUGCUUCACUUAAAUCUUUUUGAGAGUCCAUAUAUAGGAAGUGGUAAUGUGCACGUGUUAUAAGACUAGUCCGAGAAGGAUAGGUAUUCAAGGGGGAUACAAUAAAAACUUUCAUGUAGAUCACUAAAUAUGAAAUGUAUAAUUUAAUGAUAUUGAUGUUGUAAUAUGAAAGGAUAUUAGUUCAUGAUCAUUGGUUAGUAGAAAUAUCAGUAUUAAAACUUGUUAUUAACUUCUCAAAUAAGUGUUGGUCAUGGCAUGGUGGCCAGGUUUGAGCAUUUGUAUUUCUGAUUGAAAUCCUUGAGUGCUAUUAUAAUCGGAUGCGCGCGAUGGUUAACUCCUACCAACAAAUUCCCUAGGGGCAUAUGUGAGUAGUACUUUGCUUAGAAGGAUAAUAGGAGUUCACAAUAAGUAUGUCAGUUCUUUAUGACUAAUGUGAGUCCAUGGAUUAUAUGCACUCCUACCUUUCCGCAAUUUGCUAGGCUCUGCUGUACCGUGCAUUGCCCUUUCUCACCUCGAGAGUUGGUGCACACUUCGCUGGUGCAUCCAAACCCCAUGGUAUGAUACGCUCUAUCAUACAUAAGCCUCCUUAUAUCUUCUUCGAAACAGCCGCCAUACCUACCUAUUAUGGCAUUUUCACAACCAUUCCGAGAUAUAUUGCCAUGCAACUUCCACUGUUCCAUUUUCAUAACAUGUGUGUUCAACGUCAUAUUGCUUUGCAUGAUCAUAUAAAGUUGGCAUGAUAUUUGUGGCAUUGUCACCGUUCAUCAUGAUUAUACAUGUUACGCUAGAUCAUUGCACAUCCUGGUACACUAUCAGAGGCAUUAAUAUAGAGUCAUAUUGUUCAAGUUAUCGAGUUGUAUGUAAAUACAAGUGUGAUGAUAAUCAUUAUUAGAGCAUUGUCCCAGUUGAGGAAACGAUGAUGGAGACUAUGAUUCCCGCACAAGUCGGGAUGAGACUCCGGACGAAAAAAAAGAGAGAAAAGAGAGAAGGGGCAAUGUUACUAUCCUUUUUUUUUGCAAGGUAAUGCUACUAUCCUUUUGAACACUUGUGCUUUAGAGUAGCACCAUGUUCUUCACAUAGAGAGUCUCCUGAGUUAUCACUUUCAUAUACUAGUCGUAUUUUUUCAUUAUAGAAUUUGACUUGCAUAUUCUGAUGAUGGGUUUCCUCAAAUGGCCGAGGCCUUCAUGAUCAAGCAAGUUGGAUGCACAUCCACUUAGUUUUCAUUGAGCUUUCAUACACUUAUAGCUCUUAGUUCAUCUAUUGCAUGGCAAUCCCUACUCCUCGCAUUGACAUCGAUUGAUGGGCAUGUCCAUAGCCCGUUGAUUAGCCGCGUCGAUGCGAGACUUUCUUCCUUUUCAACUUUCCUUAUUAAUCUUUAUCACCGCAUUCUAUUCAACUUAUAGUGUUAUAUCCAUGGCUCACGUUCAUGUAUUGCAUAGGAUUGAAAAUGCUGAAGCGCAUUAGAAGUACGAUCCAUUUGCCUUGUUUGACACCGGGGUGCUCAUGAUUUAUAUUUAUGCAGUGAAGGUGGGGUCAUGCCAUGCUAACAUAAUAAAAUGAGUGGGGAAAGCAUUCAUUGAGGAUUGUAUAUUUUAAAAGGUUAAUGAUUAUGUUUCUUAUAUUCAUGGAUAUUAUUAUGUUGACAUUGUUACUUCAUCGUUUCUCAAUAAUUAUACCGUAAAAAUAUUACAUGAUACACAUGUUAGGUAGCAUUUCACAUCAAAAAUUCUUUUUUUAUCAUUUACCUACUCGAGGACGAGAAGGAAUUAAGCUUGAGGAUGCUAAUACGUCUUCAACGUAUCUAUAAUUUUUGAUUGUUAUAUUAUCAAUCUUGGAUGCUUUAUAUGCUUUGUAUGCUAUUUUAUAUCUUUUUGGGACUAACGUAUUAUUUUGAAUAUUUUUUGAAUUGUUUGGAUUGCUUACCACAUGUGUCAUGUGGUUUGGGACUAACCUAUUAACCCAAUGCCAGUGCCAGUUACUGUUUUUUUGCUUGUUUUUGGCUUUUUAGAAAACCAAUACCAAACGAAGUCCAAACACAAUGAAACUUUACGGUGAUUUUUUCUGGACAAGAAGGGACCCUAAAAGGUUCGGGUGGAGGCUAGAAGAUCUACGGGAGAGCCACAAGCUCACAGGGUGCGCCCCCUGAGCUCAUGGGCCGCACGCAGCUCCAUUUGACCUAAUUUCACCUCCAUAAAUUCACAUAUAUUCCCAAACCAAUAGAGAGCCACCCGAAAUACUUUUUCCGCCGCCCAAGCUUCUAUUUUUCCGUGAGCCCAUAUGGAGGCCUUUUCCGGUACUCUGUCGAAGGGGGAAUCGAUCACAGAGCGCUUCUACAUCAUGCUUGCUGUCUUACAAUGAUGCAUGAGUAGUUCACGACAGACCUACGUGUCCAUAACUAGUAGCUAGAUGGCUUCUUAUCUCUCUUUGAUCUUCAAUACAAUGUUGUCCUCGAUCUUCUUGGAGUUCUUGUAAGUGCAUCUAGUGCCACCCCUAGUUGGUUUUGGAGUAUUGCCGACAAACUUGGUUGAGGGACUAAUGUGUUUGUGAGAAUUGCAGGAUAACACAGGUAGUAGUCCCUCAUUGAUUCGGUUUACCUACCAGAGAUGACCCCUAAAAAUGUGUGAAGACAUUGAAGACAAUGGUGGUCUGUGAAGAUAUUCACAUUGAAGACUAUGACAUGAGAAGACAUCGCAUGAAGACUAUGGAGUGCGAAGACAUAGUUGUUUCGUAGUUUCCUUUUCUUCUUUGUUGAGUCAUAGGAACCGCCGUACUGUUAAGUGGGGUCCAAGUGAACAAAGUCCGAGUGACUGAUGUGAUGCUCAACCAAAUCCUAUGUCUUCGAGCGAAGACAAUGAGUGCAAAUCUUAUCCAGAGUUGGAUGAGUCAGCUUUACUUAUAGCACAAGUCAAGCUGCCGCGUGUGUUUGAAAUCUGACUGUUGGACACGUGUCAGUUCCUUAGUGGCCCAGGGUCAUUUUGGACAAAUUAGGUCGGGUUGCCUCCUGGCUAUAAAUAGCCCACCCCCUACACCAUAAAUUGGUGGCUGCUCAUAGUUAGUGCACGGCUUUUGUCGUUUGAGAGCAACCCACCUCCGAAGCAUUUGAGAGAGAGAUCCUUGCGAGGACAAAGCCCAAAACACCCAGAGCCAAAGAGUGUUAGGCAUCACUGAAGUCUUUCUGUCCGCGUGAUCUGAAGACUUGUUACACUUGAGGACUGUGAAUCCUCCAGCCGGUUAGGCGUCGCGUUCUGAGCAUCCAAGAGUCAUUGUGGAUUGCCGGUGAACGAAAUCUAUGAAGGUUUGGAAGUCUACCUUGAAGACUUACCAGAGUGAUUGGGAGAGGACUAAGUGUCCUUAACUCAAGGGGAAUAAGGUGAAGACGCUUUCUUCUGAGUUAAAUCUCAGCCUCCCUAACCAGACGUACAGUUGUCACGGCAACUGGAACUGGUCCAACAAAUCCCUGUCCUCCCCAAGCAACUGGUUCUAUCUCUUAUCUCUCUUUACUUACAGUUUGUCUUCGUGAAGUCAUUACCUGCUUGCAUGAUCUGAUUGUCUUCACUGUGUGAAGACUGCUGUUGUUUGGCUUCAUACUAUCUUCCAUCCUGAUCCAUACUACCUAACUGCUGAUAGUCUUCGUGCUUUCACUUCAUUGCUUACUUGACUAUGGCUUGUCUAGUGUAGUCUACCUUCCGCUGCAUAUCAAUAGGUUCAUUUUUAUUGUUUGUCUUCAAAGCCCCUGUGUUUUGAAGACUUUCAUAAAAAUUGCCUAUUCACGCCCCCCCCCCUCUAGUCGAUAACUAGCACUUUCAGUUCUAUCCGAUGUAAUCUUCUUUUUGUUGGGGAACGUAGCAGAAAUUCAAAAUUUUCUACGCAUCACCAAGAUCAAUCUAUGGAGUACUCUAGCAAAGAAGGGAAGGAGAGUGGAUCUACAUACCCUUGUAGAUCGCGAUGCGGAAGCGUUGCAAGAACGCGGAUGAGGGAGUCGUACUCGUAGCGAUUCAGAUCGCGGUUGAUUCCGAUCUAAGCACCGAAGAACGGUGCCUCCGCGUUCAACACACGUGCAGCCCGGUGACGUCUCCCACGCCUUGAUCCAGCAAGGAGAGAGGGAGAGGUUGGGGAAGACUCCAUCCAGCAGCAGCACGACGGCGUGGUGGUGAUGGAGGAGCGUGGCAAUCCCGCAGGGCUUCGCCAAGCACCGCGGGAGAGGAGGAGGAGGGAGAGGGGUAGGGCUGCGCCAAAAGGAGACUUUCUCGUGUCGUUAUGGCAGCCCAAACCUCAACUAUAUAUAGGGGGGGAGGGGGCUGCGCCCCCCUCUAGGGUUCCCACCCCCAAGAGGAGGCGGCCAGCCCUAGAUCCCAUCAAGGGGGGGCGGCCAAGGGGAGGAGAGGGGGGGCGCCCCACUAGAUGGGCCCUAAGGCCCAUCUGGACCUAGGGUUUGCCCCCUCCCACUCUCCCAUGCGCCUUGGGCCUUGGUGGGGGGGCGCACCAGCCCACCUGGGGCUGGUCCCCUCCCACACUUGGCCCACGCAGCCUUCUGGGGCUGGUGGCCCCACUUGGUGGACCCCCGGGACCCUCCCGAUGGUCCCGGUACAUUACCGAUAACACCCGAAACUUUUCCGGUGACCAAAACAGGACUUCCCAUAUAUAAAUCUUUACCUCCGGACCAUUCCGGAACUCCUCGUGACGUCCGGGAUCUCAUCCGGGAUUUCGAACAACAUUCGGUAACCACGUACAUACUCUCCAUAUAACCCUAGCGUCAUCGAACCUUAAGCGUGUAGACCCUACGGGUUCGGGAACCAUGCAGACAUGACCGAGACGUUCUCCGGUCAAUAACCAACAGCGGGAUCUGGAUACCCAUGUUGGCUCCCACAUGUUCCACGAUGAUCUCAUCGGAUGAACCACGAUGUCGGGGAUUCAAUCAAUCCCGUAUUCAAUUCCCUUUGUCUAUCGAUAUGUUACUUGCCCGAGAUUCGAUCGUCGGUAUCCCUAUACCUUGUUCAAUCUCGUUACCGGCAAGUCUCUUUACUCGUUCCGUAACUCACAUCAUCCCGUGAUCAACUCCUUGGUCACAUUGUGCACAUUAUGAUGAUGUCCUACCGAGUGGGCCCAGAGAUACCUCUCCGUUUACACGGAGUGACAAAUCCCAGUCUCGAUUCGUGCCAACCCAACAGAUACUUUCGGAGAUACCUGUAGUGCACCUUUAUAGUCACCCAGUUACGUUGUGACGUUUGGUACACCCAAAGCAUUCCUACGGUAUCCGGGAGUUGCACAAUCUCAUGGUCUAAGGAAAUGAUACUUGACAUUAGAAAAGCUCUGAGCAAACGAACUACACGAUCUUGUGCUAGGCUUAGGAUUGGGUCUUGUCCAUCACAUCAUUCUCCUAAUGAUGUGAUCCCGUUAUCAACGACAUCCAAUGUCCAUGGUCAGGAAACCGUAACCAUCUAUUGAUCAACGAGCUAGUCAACUAGAGGCUUACUAGGGACAUGGUGUUGUCUAUGUAUCCACACAUGUAUCUGAGUUUCCUAUCAAUACAAUUCUAGCAUGGAUAAUAAACGAUUAUCAUGAACAAGGAAAUAUAAUAAUAACCUAUUUAUUAUUGCCUCUAGGGCAUAUUUCCAACACUUUUGUGGUGUGUUUGUUGGGAUCCGAUGAAUUGUGGGUUUAUGAUCAGAUUAUUCAUUGAAAGUAGUUGAGUCUUGUCUGAAUUUUAUUAUGCAUGAUUGUUAUAGCUUUGUAUUUCCCUCCGAUCUAUCUGUUUGGUUUGCCAACUAGAUUGAUUUAUCUUCAGUGGCAUACGUGCUUUGUAAUGGGUUCAAUCUUGCGGUGUCCUCACACAAUGAUAGAAGGGGAAGCGAGACACGUAUAAUAUUGUUGCCAUUAAGUAUAAAAUUAUGGGUGUAAUCAUAUUGCUUGAGUUUACUUUGUCUACAUCAUGUCAUCUUGCUUUAGGCGUUACUCUGUUCGUCAUGAACUUAAUACCACAGAUGCAUGCUAGAUAACGGUCGAUUAGUGGAAUAAUAGUAGUAGCUGUAGACAUGAGACGGUCUACUUGUCACGGACAUGAUGACUAUAUACAUGAUCAUUGCCAUGAAUACAUCAUAACUAUGUGUUUUUCUAUCAAUUACCCAACAGUAAUUUGUUUACCCACCAUAUGCUAUGUGUUCGAGAGAGAAGCCUCUAGUGAAAACUAUGGGCCCCGGGUCUACUUUUAUCAUAUUAUUAAAACCAAAAAUACCUUGCUGCAAUUUUACACUUUUUAUUUUACUUUUAUUUUUAUCUAUGUAUCACUAUCAGAAUUAAUCCUUGCAAAUAACGAGUUCAAGGGGAAUGACAACCCUCUUGCCCGCGUUGGGUGCAAGUAUUUGCUUUUCUCUGUGUAGGUGCUGCAGAAGGGAAUUAGUGUGGUUCUUCUAUUGGUUCAAUAACUUUGGUUCUCACUGAGGGAAAUACUUAUCUCUGUUGUACUGCUUCACCCAUCCUCUUCGGGGGAAAUCCCAACACAGUUUACAAGUAGCACUACCCCUCCCUCCUCCUCCAUAGAUGCUUGGUGAAGCCCUGCCUGAGCUCCACCGUAAAAUCCACCACCACGCCAUCGUGUUGGCCUUGAUCCCAUCCACCUAUCCAUGUCGCUUGCUGGAUCAAGAAGGAGACGUCACCGAGCGAUACGUGUGCAUAUCUCAGAGGUGCCGUCCGUGUGGUACUCGAUCGGAUUGGAUCACGAAGAGAGUACGACUACGCCAACCACAUUCAUUAGAAUGUUUUCGUUUUAGGUCUACAAGGGUUUGUAAACUUUUCCCCCUCGUUGCUAGCAUCUAGUUGAUUAGAUCUUGGAUGUUUUCAUUGUCUCGUAGGAAAAAAAUUGUUUUCCAUGGAACGAUUCCCAUCACUGACCUGCUUUAAAGAAGUGGGUAGGAGCUCAGGCGACCCGGGCUCAGCAGGUGGCCAGGCGGGAGGUCCCUAAGAGGUGCAUCCAAGAAUGCAACAACCUCCAAGUAGAGAAGGCGUCCCUAGCCGAGAGGAAGAGACAACAAGAGCUGGAGCUGGAGGAAGUUAAGUCUCGCCUAGCUGAUGCCGAGAGUGACGCGGCAGGCCCUUGAGAUCAUAGCCAGUGAGUCUGUCUGUGCUUCAACUCAUAAUCUAGGUGGAAAUUUUAUUUGCCGAUCUGUCAUAGAAAUUCAUUAUUUCCAGCAUCUUUUCCCGAGCCAGUGCUGUUGGAGUGUCACUUAGGAAGAAACUGCAGCAGCUUGGAGAGUUGAACAAGAUCGCGAGGCCGACAAUGGAGGGUAUUUUCAAGGCCCUAUGGCCUGGAGAAAGGUUGUCGGAAAACCAGUUUGACCUCCCGCCGCCUCCCGGAGGGGCAUGCUCGGAUUGCCCUGUGAAAGGCCUUAGUGGCCUGAGAAGAUGCUCGUCAAGCUUGGGCCAUGCUCCAGACCCACUAUCCGGGCUUGAACAUCUGUCCUAUUGCCCUAGUUGGUCCAAAAGGACCUGUCGGUAAGGAGAUUAUGCCUAAUGGCAAUUUCCAACGGAUCAUGCCCUAUACUAGGAUGUCCGAGCAGGAUUGUCGUUUGGAAAAUAUUAUUGAAUAGGCUAGGAGCGAUUACCCUGGAAUGUCAAGGAUGAAAAGUUGUAUAAAAACUUCACGAAUUUCGCUCUAGCCAUGUUUAUUUUUUUCUAUACCGACAACAUGAUAGGUUUGGUCCGACCUGUUUAGCAUACGCUUGCAUUAACCAGCCUUUGGCUUCAACCUCCACAACCAAACGGGGAGGCCUUAUAAUUGAUGUUAACGCAAGGAGUAGGGAUCGCCAUGCAACUAGGAUGCAAACAUAUCUAUGAAUAUAUGAAAUCUCUCGCAAGGAUUAAGUAGGGGUGUGUCCAACUUGUUUGCUCAUGAAGACCUCGAGCAUUUGAUAAAGCUCAUCAUCGGGAUGUACAAGGAAAGUUCUACAACAUAAAUUCCCCAAGCUAGUAUAAAACAUGAAGCUCAUGAAACUUUAAUUAGAUGCUAAUUAUCCAGACCAACAAAAGUUCUUUAGUAAGAGUCUCUAAGAAAUAUAUUUCAUCGAAACUGUCCUACUCAGCUCGAGUGAACAGUUAAAUCCAAAAAAAAUUGAAACAAAAUUUCAAAAAAAUCUAAAUUUUUUUGGUGAUAAAUGUUUUCAAUGCUUGCAAAGUUUCAUCAUGUAAUUAUAUUUGUGGAAGUCAUGCAAAAAUAAUAUCGAUGCUUCAAAAAAGUUAUUUUCGGAGUGCUGAAUUUGUUUAUUGCCGUGACGAAGAUGAAUGCCAGUCUAUGAUGAAACUUUGCAAGGAUAUAUAACAUGUGUCAAAUUAAGCCACACACAAAAAAUCAGAAAUUUUUGAAUUCUUUCUAAAUAUUUUCAGAUUUUAUUGCUCACCCGAGCUCAUAUGAGCUCGAGCUCAGUUAAUCCGUGUCCAUGUUUCAUCCUAUUCUACUAGCAAAAACCAAUGGAGCAGAUGGUAGUGACGUGGAAAAGAAACCAUAAUAAUUUUGUAGUGAUAUAUAAUUAAAGAAACAGAAAUUUGCAAUUGCAAAUUAGGGAAUCUUAAUGUCAAAUACUGAAUUCUUCCACCCACUAGCUGUGAGACAUAUCCAUUGCAGUGCCAAAUAAAGAAACUUUUCCAUGAAUUAAUAACAGCAAGACAAUGGUCCGCGUGUUGUAUAUAAUAAAUAUUACACAGGUUUUGCAUAUGUGUAGCCGGUGCAUAUAGACCUAUGAGGAAUUACGUAUGCAUGCUCAAGAACCUAUGUUCGUACAUACAUACACAAAUCAUAUAGAACAAAAGGUAUGCUCCGGUCCGAAAGCAGAGUCGUGCAGCAGAGUUGUGGACAAAAGUGAAGUUCACAAAAGACCUUCAUACGAGAUAGGCCAUUGUUUCAACUCGUAGUUUAGGCCUUGCCGGACUCCUCGCAACCCGGUGGCCUGAAGGCGAUGAAGCUGACGCACUGCACCUGGCGCAGGUUGUCGAAGCCGAUGACACGGACAUAGGCGUCAGGGUACUCCUUCUUGACCUCCUCCACCUCGUUGAGCACCUGUGUGGCGUCGGUGCACCCAAACAUGGGCAGCUUCCACAUUGUCCAGUAUCGACCGUCGUAGUACCCGGGGGAGCUGUUGUGCUCACGGAAGACGAAGCCAACCUUGCUGAACUCGAGGCAGGGCACCCACUUGGAGCGGAUCAGGUAGUCGACCUGCUUCAGGAGGGCUUCCGUGGAGAGGGGUGGCAAGUAAGACAAGGUCUCGAACUUCUUGAUGCCCUCAAUUGGCCACACCUGAAUGAAUAGAAUGCGCACAGAUGCUCAAUACUUGGUGAUAAGUCAAUUAAUUGUACUAACAAUGCUAGAAUAAAUCAGACGGCAUGCCAAAAAUUGCUCCUUAUGGGCAGCUCUCAUAUGCAUUGCUGGGUUGUUCACAAUCAAUAAAGCUUUGGUUGUACUUAGUUCUAGUAUAUGGGUCCUAUUUCGAGGAUGGGUUUGGUUAUAUACAUCGGGGAUGUUCUGUAAGUGAAUUACUUGCACUGACAAAGAAACUCAUAUCAAUUAGUGCCCGACAUACCUGCAUGCACCUGAUCCUUCCGCCAUUGCUGACGCUGCCGAGGCUGGCGCUGGAGCGGCGGCUGACGGGGAGACCGGCUGUGGACUUGAGCCCCUGGAAGGGUGCAACGGUGGUAGCCGACGAAGCCAUCACGGCGGGGGCCAUGGUAUUCUAUUAACUGGAGGAGAGGAGGAUGCCGGCUACAGUUGAGGCCCCCAUUGCCGGGUCACCACGCUAUAUAUAGACUCGUUUCUUUGGUACAGAUGUGGUAGCGGUGGCUGACGUUCGCUGGUUGCCUCGUUUCCUUAUCUUCUCCGGAUCAGUGGAAGAAGCAUUGCCGUCGGAUACAUUGUGUGUGCUGGAAAUUUCAGUCCUUCAUGUCAUUAGGUGGCUGCCACACAACCUUUUUUCUAGCUUUGCUUGUUUUUGGGUGAGUUCCUUGAUAACAAAUUGUCUGAGGAUGCGAGUGAGUUGGGUGGGCAAAAUAUUUUCAUUUUAUCAUAAAAUUUGCUGGCUCACUCUUGAAACUAUGCUCAUAGGCGUAUAGUGUGCGUGUGUGCAAUCAUAGAGGGUGGUGUACAUACGUGUAUGUGAAUGUCUGCAUUUGUACAAUGUUUUUCAAAAUAAAAUAUAUGUUUUCUUGGUAGAAUUAACUGAACUAGCAUAGUAAAAUAUAUGUUUCCCCCCUCCAUAUCCGUCGAUGUGCCUAUGGAUUCGCCUCCCCUUGGAGGGAAGGGAAUUCUCUGUAAAGAAGUAGUGAUCUAAACGCUUUUAUAUUUCUUUACGGAGGGAGUAGGAUUUUAGUUCUUGUAGGAGUGGCGCUUGGACAGAUGGCGGCCCUUCUUCUUCGAGUCAAUCUUCCGGGAUCCGGUCGUCUUCAAGCUCCUCGGGCAUAUGCAAAACGAGAUUUGGUGUCAGGUUCUUCAGACCGAUUCAGGGAUUCGACGACGACGACUACGGCUCCAGAGCGUUCAUUCUUAGGGGCGUGUGCAUGAAGACUUCCUCGCUGCCAUCGACAAGGUCUGGCUAGAACCAGUGUGGGAGCAAAGACAACGGCUCGUUUUGACGGAGGCAAUGGUCGUUCGGUGUCGUUCGGUGGUCCAUAGACCUAGAUGUACUUUUUACUAUGUUUGAGGUGCUUUCUACUUUCGGUGAAUCUUUUCUUUUAGGGCAGGUGAUCUGCCUUUUCAUUGAUGUUUAGGAAGGUAUAGGGGAGGGCUAAAGUGCCAAAGGAAAGAAGAAAAACAUAAAAAAAAACAGAAAAGAGAUCCAGUUGCACAAAUCACUGAUGUACAAAGCGCUAGCCUAAGGCACGACUUUCGGUGAAUCUUUAUAUUAGAUCUUAUUCUUUACGCAAAAAAAAAAGAAAUUGAACUAGGAGGUAAAAGCACUAGAGGUCCUAGAACUUGGCUAACAUGUGAUGGUUUAGUCCUAAAACUUGCAAAAGUGAACUAUGUAGUCCUAUAACUUGUACACAACCUGCAAAUUUAGUCCAAAGCCAAUCAGAGGCGGCCAAGUGGCGCCAGCUGGCUGUGUUUCAUUUUGCAUAUACCCCCUUUUUUUGUCAAAUUAACCCGCAAGUACUAGUAAUACACGGGGCUAGCAGCAGCAGUAGGGCUAGCUAGUGCGGGCUUUGAGAAUUGAGAUUGGUUCAUCAUGUGAAACUGCAAUCUCCCUUCCAAUCAAACACAUUAAGAUACGCAGGUUGGGCGCUUCCUAGGCUAUGCCACGUCGGAUCGCUGGAAGACAAAACAGAUCGCUGCAAAAAAAAGAUUGCUGGGAGAAAAAAUGAUGGUCGGUUGGGCAGCGGCCAAAUAACACAUGCCUCUCGAUCUGCUUUCCCUUCCUCACUAAGAAAUAUCCAAUUCCACACGCAACCUCGUAGUCGCAUCGCUCUCCUCGACAACUGCUACGCGUCCAUGCGCCGCCACCGCCGCCACUUCUCCCGCGCCUUCUCCUCCCAGUUCCUCUCUGCCCUACGCCACCCCCGCCUCCUUGACCACCUAUCUCCUCCUCUGGGAGCACUACUUUCAGUUUUCCAUUCCAAUUGGAUGGUCUACAACAUUGAUCCAUAUUUUGUAGGAACACUUAUAUUGCUGAACUGAACUUGAUAUCAAAUCAGUGUUUAGUUUAUAAAUAAUUUCUAUAAGUGAUACAUCUUUCAGUGUAAAUGCAUUUUUUCUCAAGACUACUUGGGGAAAAAAUAGCAGACAUCAAAUGAAAUGUAUAAUUUUGUCAUCGGAAAAUCAAAUGAAAGCCACGGAAAGACCCCAAAACAUCAUAUUAAGAUCACCAUUGACUAUCCAAAUCUAAGUCCACCGCAUUCGUUAUAAAGAAAUUCUUUUCCAUGAAACUAAACCACGCCAACACUAAAAUUCAUGAACGAAAGUCAUCCAUAAUAUUAUGUUUCAUUAUAUGAGACGGUAGUUAUUUCGUCAUUUAAAGUGAUGAUAUGGCUCCAUCGUGGUAUUAGAUGUGGCCUUUCCUAUGACGAUGUGGUAUCAUCAUUUUUUUCUAAUCUAAUAAAAAGUCUUACAUAUUGGUCUCACAAUCCGAAAACUCUCCUUUGCACGCACGCGUUGGGACUGGUGAAGCGCUCCGCACAAGAAGUCAGGUUCCGACCGCGCGCUAUAUUCCUUUCCAAACUUUGGCAUGCCGUUUAACUGAGAAUGGUGGCCCCACAUAGUAUCGCAGCCCACUGUCAUGGAACUAAAUGUGUUGGGCUCACCCCACAUGUUACACGCAUUCACGGAAGGGCUAGUUGUGGUGUCAUCUUGGUUUUCACUUCAGUGUGAUUUCUUUGAUUUCACUGAAUUUCAGGAAUUUCAGUAGACACCGAAAUAUUUACCUUUCAAUCAGAAUAUUUCAGUCAUUUCAGUUGUACACAUGAAUUCAAAUAUUUUCAAAAUAUCUUUAAAUAUUGUUUUGAAUUUCAAGUGAAUAUUUUGGUCUUUUGGCCAAAAUGCAAGCUGAAAUUACUGAAAUUCAGUAACUUUGGUAGGUACUGAAACAACCGUAGGGUUUUUGCCUGAAUAUGAAUUUUGUCAUGAAACAUAUAGGGUUUUGACCUCCGAUGUAGGUUCUAUAACAAAAUUGAUAGUUUCGUCAUGGAAGGACCUAUGUUUAUGACAAAAACACAAAACAUCACAGAUAAUUCAUUAUAGAAGGCCAAAACUUUACUAGUAGAAGAUAUCUUGGGACUCGUCAAUUGGAUAUGUAAUUUGCACAUAUUUGUCUAGUCCACACGUUCUCUGGUUUAUUGGAAUUGCUGCAAUACUGUAAAAAAAUAGUAUCUAAUUGCGGUGUAAAAUGGUUAGAAAAAGUGACAUGUCUUUGAUGAAUCGAUGAUGGAAUAUGCCUCACAAGACAAGUGCACUAUGGUAUUUUGUCCUUGUCUUGUUUUGACACCUGUUGUUUGUCCUUUUUCUAGUUUUUAAAUUUUAGUUUUUGGCUUUUUAUUAUUAUCUGGUUCUCAUCAAUGUCCUACUGUUUUGCCACUAGUUUUCAAUGGGGUCACACCAUCUCUUUAUGUGUUUCCCACAGUAUUUUUUGACGUACUUUGGUAUUCCAUAAGAAUUUUCGCAUUAGAUAAUACACAUCAUAUGAUUGAGCAAAAAAUGUAAGAGAAUAAAACAUUGCAAGGCAUAGGCAUUUCCAGUUGCAAACAAAGUUUCUUUUCCAUCAAUUGAUGGCAAGACAAUAAUCCGCGGAUUGCAUAUAAUAUAUAUGUGUAUGUGUAGCCGGUGCUAUAAUUCUGACAUGCAUCCUCCUCGGCCUACGUUGGUAGGUGCUUACAUAUGCUCAUAUAUUCACAUAUGAGUAGAACCAGAAAUAAAACCGAGAAAGCAGAGCUGCUGACAAAUGUGAACUAACAUGGCAUGUAUAUCGGACUUGCACUUUAGGCCUUGCCGGAUUCCUCGCAGCCUGGUGGCCUGAAGGCAAUGAAGCUGACGCACUGCACCUGGCGCAUGUUGUCGAAGCCAAUGACGCGGACAUAGGCGUCAGGGUACUCCUUCUUGACCUCCUCCACCUCAUUGAGCACCUGCGUGGCGUCAGUGCACCCGAACAUAGGCAGCUUCCACAUUGUCCAGUAUCGACCGUCGUAGUACCCGGGGGAGCUGUUGUGCUCACGGAAGACGAAGCCAACCUUGCUAAACUCGAGGCAGGGCACCCACUUGGAGCGGAUCAGGUAGUCGACCUGCUUAAGGAGGGCCUCCGUGGAGAGGGGUGGCAAGUAAGACAGGGUCUCGAACUUCUUGAUGCCCUCAAUCGGCCACACCUGAAUAGAUGGAAUUAACACAAUUGAUCAACACUUAGUGCUUAAACAAAGACCUAGCCAUAAUAAGGCAAAAAUUGCUCCUUAUGUCCAUACAUUUGUGGGGGGUCUCCACACGCAAGAAAGCACAAGGGCACCUCUUUCUUAUCGGUAGUGUAUGGGCAUUAAAAUUAAUAUUAUCUAGUACACAUUGGAAUAAAAUCGAUUUCCAUUCACAAAGUUUAUGAGUUAAAUAUUCCUACACAUGUGAACCUGCUUACGGACUACAUUGUGAAGCACAGUUUGGCCUGGCAUGUGGGCGUCCUAAGGAUAGCUUUGCCUAUGUGCAGUGAAAUACCCGAUAAAUUAAUCAAUUGUGGCGACAAAAACAUUCAUGCCAGCUUAGUGUCCGUCAUCCUUCGCUAAAAAAAAUCAAAAAGGAGGAUAACUCUAGCCUCUGCAUCAAGUGAUAUGCACACUGUCAUUUUUAUUAUAUUAUUCAACAGAGUCUAACAAAACAAAUACGAUUUUAAACCAAAGCCAUCUUCGAGACGAACAAAAUCGCUACACCUACAAGUACGAUGAUGUGCCUUAACCGCAUCAUCCUUCGCAAAAACAAUAUUCAGCUUUCAUACCUGCAUGCAUCUGAUCCUUCCGCCAUUGCUGACGCUGCUGAGGCCGGCGCUGCCGGAGCGGCGGCUGAUGGGAAGGCCGGCGGUCGACUUAAGCCCCUGGAAGGGCGCGACGGUGGUGGCGGAAGACGCCAUCACGGCUGGGGCCAUGGUGGAGUACGUGAAUUGCUAGGUGGGGAGGCGAUAGCUAGCUAGGCCACACUUGACUUGAGCCCUCCUCAUGCCGCUCCAGUAUAUAUCAGCAUAUGCGCAGCGCCGCUCCUUUCAAACGAGAUUUCGAAGGGGUGGUCGUCGUUUGCUUGCUGCAAGGCGCCUUAUCCCUCUGGAUCAGCGGAAGAGGGGUGCAAAAUCAAAAUGAAUGCCACGGAAAGACCCCAAAACGUCAUAUAGAUCACCAUUGAUCAUCCAAUUCUAAGGUCACUGCAUUCGUAAUGAACAAAUUCUUUGGCGUGAAACUAAACCACGCCAACACUAAAAUUCAUGAAGGGAAGUCAUCCAUACUCGUAUGUUUCAUUAUAUGAGACGGUAAUUAUUUCUUCAUUUAAAGUGUUGAUAUGGCUCCACCAUGGUAUUAGACGUGGCAUUUUCCUAUAGGAUGUGGUAUCUUCAUUUUUUUUCUAAUUUAGUAAAACUUCUUCAUAUAGGUCUCACAAUCUGAAAAUUCUCAUUCGCACGCGCGCGUUGGGUAGGUGAAGCGCUCCGCACAAUAAGUCAGGUUCCGGCCGCGCGCUAUAUUCCUUUCAUAAUUUUCACAUGUCGUUUAAUUAAGAAUGGUGGCCCCAUAUGGUAUAGCAGCCCAUUGCCAUGGAAUUAAAUGUGUUGGGCCCACCCCACCUGAUACGCGCAUUCGCGGAAGGGCUAGUUGUGGUGGCAUCAUGGUUUUCACUUUUACUGAUAUAUCUUUGAAUUACACCAAAUUUCAGUAGACAACGAAAUAUUUACCUUUCGGCCAAAAUAUAUCAGUCAUUUCAAUUCUACACAUAAAUUCAAAUAUUUUUCAAAAUAUUUUCAUAUAUUUUUUCACUUUCGGGUGAAUAUUUUGGUCUUUUGGUCAAAAUGCGAAUUGACACUACUGGAACUUAGUAAUUUUGGUAGGUACUCAAAUGAAAAAACAUGGGUGCCAUGGCAUGCAGGCCCACCCCGUGAUCAAUAUAUAAUCUCCCACUAAAUUUCAGGUGGGGGCUAGUUUCCCUACAAUAAUGAAUAAUCCAAGGGAACGGAAAUAUCACUGCACACUUUCCUAAUAGGGAUGUGGACAGCGAGUCGGAAAUCAACCACGCGGAAGCGCGUGCGAUUUAGCACCCAAAAAAUAAUUCAAGUUAAUAUAAUUUUAGCCUGGCGUGCGUGUACCUCCACAAUGUAAUGGGCUACUGUUGUUUGCAACUAAUUGUUUCGUAAUGUUAUGACUGAAUAUGGAUUUUCUCAUGAGACAUAUAGGGUUUCUGCCUCUUAGGCAGGUUUUAUGACAAAAUUGAUAGUUUCGUCAUGGAAGGACGUUCAUCGUAGAAGGCCAAAAUAUUACUAGUACAAGGUAUCUUGGGGCUCAUCAAUUGGAUAUGUAAUUUGCACAUAUUUGUGCCCUCAACACGUUCUUUGGUUUAUUGGAAUUUCUGUAAUACUGCAAAAAAAAGUAUCUAAUUGCAGUGUAAAAUGGUUAGAAAAAGUGACAUGUCUUUGAUGAAUCGAUGCAGGAAUAUGGCUCACAUGACAAGUGCAUUAUGGUAGUUUGUCCUUGUCUUGUUACGACACCUUUGUUUGUCCUUUUUCUAGUUUUUUAUUAUUAUUUUUGUUUUUUUAUUAUCUGUUUCUCGUCAAUUCCCUAUUGUUUUGCCAUUAGUUUUCAAGGGGGUCUCACCAUCUUUUAUGUGUUUCUCCACAGUAUUUUUUGAAGUACUUCGGUAUUCCAUAACAAUUUCCGUAUUAGACAAUACACAACAUAUGAUUGAGCAAGAAAUGCAUGAGAAGAAAACAAUGGAAGACAUAGGCAUUUCCGGCUGCAAAGAAAGUAACCUUUCCAUCGAUUGAUGGCAAGACACUAAUCCGUUGAUUGCAUAUAAUAUAUAUGUAUAUGUAUAGCCGGUGCUAUAAUUCUCAUAUGCAUCCUCCUCGACCUACAUUGGUAGGUGCUUACAUACAUAUGCUCGUAUAUUCACAUAUGAGUAGAACGAGAAGUAAAACUGAGAAAGCAGAGCCGCCGACAAAUGUGACUAACAUGACAUGUAUAUCAGUUACUUCAACUUGCACUUUAGGCCUUGCCGGAUUCCUCGCAGCCUGGUGGCCUGAAGGCAAUGAAGCUGACGCAUUGCACCUGGCGCAUGUUGUCGAAGCCGAUGACGCGGACAUAUGCAUCAGGGUACUCCUUCUUAACCUCCUCCACCUCAUUGAGCACCUGUGUGGCGUCGGUGCAACCGAACAUAGGCAGUUUCCACAUUGUCCAGUAUCGACCGUCAUAGUACCCGGGGGAGCUGUUGUGCUCACGGAAGACGAAGCCAACCUUGCUGAACUCGAGGCAGGGCACCCACUUGGAGCGGAUCAAGUAGUCGACCUGCUUCAGGAGGGCCUCCGUGGAGAGGGGAGGCAAGUAAGACAGGGUCUCGAACUUCUUGAUGCCCUCAAUUGGCCACACCUGAAUAGAUGGAAUGAACACAAUUGAUCAACACUUAGUGCUUUAAGAAAGACCUAGCCAUAAGGCAAAAAUUACUCCUGAUGGUCUGUCCAUACAUUGCGGGGGGUCUCCACAAGCAAGAAAGCUCAAGGGCAGCUCUUGCUUAUGGGUAGUGUACGGGCAUUAAAAAUGAUAUUAUCUAGUACACAUUGCAAUAAAAACGAUUCCAUUCACAAAGUUUAUGAGUUAAAUAUUCCUACACAUGUGAACCUGCUUACGGACUACAUUGUGAGGUUUAGUUUGGCCUGGUAUGUGGGUUACACGUCCUAAGGAUAGCUUUGCCUAUGUGCAGUGGAAAUACCCGAUAAAUUAAUCAAUUGUGCCGACAAAAACAUUCUUGACAGCUUAGUGUCCGUAAUCCUUCGCCAAAAAAAUUCAAAAAAGAGCAUAUCCUCAGCCUCUGCAUCAAGCGAUGCACACUGUCAUUUUUAUUAUAUUAUUCAACAGAGUUUAACAUAAGAAAUACGAUUUUAAAUCAAAGCCAUCUUCGAGAUGGACAAAAUUGUUACACCUACAAAUACGAUGAUGUGCCUUGACCACGCCAUCCAUCGCAAAAAUAAUAAUUAGUUUUCGUACCUGCAUGCAUCUGAUCCUUCCGCCAUUGCUGACGCUGCUGAGGCCGGCGCUGCCGGAGCGGCGGCUGACGGGGAGGCCCGCGGUCGACUUGAGCCCCUGGAAGGGCGCGACGGUGGUGGCGGAAGAAGCCAUCACGGCUGGGGCCAUGGCGGAGUACGUAAAUUGCUAGGUGGGGAAGCGAUAGCUAGCUAGGCCACACUUGACUUGAGCCCUCCUCAUGACGCUCCAGUAUAUAUCACCAUAUGCGCAGCGCCGCUCCUUCCCAACAAGAUUUCCAAGGGGUCGUCGUCGUUUGCCUGUUGCAAGGCGCCUUAUCCCUCUGGAUCAGCGGAAGAGGGGUGGCCCUCCGAUGCAUUGCGUGCGUGUGACUGCUGUACAAACAAUACAAUAAUUUUUGGAUCGUUAGAUUAGCACCUGCCUCUCUCUCCCAUAAUCUGCCGUAGUUUUCAUCUAAGGCUCCCACUAAUUUUUUGAUUUACUUUGUUUCCAGAAAGUUACUGCUCCUGGAAAUUACUCCUCAAAUAUUUGUGUCGAGGUAAUUGCACCGGUGGCGCUUGAACUUGCCAUCGAUGUUCACUUUAAUGUCUGAACUUCAAAAUUCGUCGAACUGGUAAUAGUACAUGGCACUUUUGUUCAAAUAUGGUUCAAACCAUGUUCGGAUACGUAUGUGUUGUUGACUAGGCAUGCCAGCAUGGCGCGGGGCCCACUUGCAGUGUCGGGACAAGCUCACUUGCAAAGUAUACACUCUAUGACAAUCGGGUCCCACCUGUCAGACAGGGGUGGACACAGGAUUGGGCUUAGCCCCGGGCCCUAAGCUGGCUACAGUGCGCCUACAGUGAUGCUACAGUGCCCAUCAUGCUAUACUGAACGCAGUGUGCAGUCCUCACACCCAGGGCCCAGGCCCCCCGGCCUGGGUUCUGGAUCCGCCACUGCUGUCAGGGCACAACAGCAAAAAAAACUAGCCAUGGUUGUCAAGGCUCACUAGUAGAAAACAUACCUUUGAUCCGGAGAAUUAGUUCCGGCCGGGUAUGGACCCGGAACAAUGUGAGCAUUAGUCUCGGUUCCAACGGCUAGGAGCGGACGGGAGGCACAGCAGGCUGGGGCCCCCGCGAGCCCUUUUAGUCCCGAUUGGUAUCACCAACCGAGACUAAAGAUAUCCCUAUAUAUAGAUGUUUCGUUCAGCCCGAGUCCAAGCUUUAUCCUUCCUCUCCUCUCUGUUUCCUUCCCCUAGCUCCAGCUCAUCCUCCAUUUUUGCCAAGAUUUGUCAAGAUUUCAGGCACCCCAUCUAUCCAAGGGUUCUAAAAGGUUAGCAACUUCAUCCUUUCAUCUUUCAUUGCUAGUUUAGCUCGUUUCAUGCUCUAUAAGUAUUGUGAUUUGUGGGUUUAGUUUCGGAGUAAUUAUGUGGGAGAUUAUUUGAUUUAUAUGCAAUUUGAGCUCAAAUUAACUUCUUAGUUUGCAUAUGGUGUAGGUGUGGUUUACUUAGUGCCUUCCCGUCCCCUUACUCACCGUCGUCGAUCGCCCGCGCCAUCCCGUCACCAGCACCACCUUGGUGAGCCUCUUGUUCUUAUCCUUUUUGUAAAAAAAAAUCUUAUUUGUAUGAUUUAGAUAGUUACUUGUAUAAUUUUCUUACUUGUAUGAUUGUUUGUUAUAUAUAGUGUCAUGGUUUUGAUAUCCGUCCCCGUCGGCCCUCGUCCGGUUUAUGAUUCGGAUGUGGUAUAUUAUCUUUUAUAACUAUUUAUUUUAUUUCGUGUUUAUGACAAUUAUGCCCAUCAAGUUGACAUAUAUAUUUUUAUCUAGGAGGUAUGUGAACUGUAAAUUGCAACCGACCCUCUUGUUAAGAAGUUAAAUUUAGUUUAAAAAGAAAACGAUUAUUUGAAACAAAACUUGAAAAGAAUUAAAGAAGAGAAGAUGAAAUUGGAGUUGUAUAUUGUUGAUGUCAUCGAUGAUCACAAGAUCAAGAUGGAUGCAAUGCGCUUGAAGAUUAAAAAGAUUAGAAAAUAUGUCGUUAAUAAAGAGCCUUGGUAUCAUUAUGUUGUCGGAUCAAUUAUUACCUUAGUUGCGAUUUUGAUCGCAUUUGUUGUUGCAUUUAAAUGCUUUAGCUAGAUAGUUGUAUGUCGUUUUAUGAGAAGUAUGUAUGAACUUUAUGUAUGAACUUGUAUUAAUUUGGUCACUUCGAUGUUGUGUAAUGAAGAUGAGUCGGCAAUGGAUGUAUGAUGACCAACGCUCUCGUGAGUUCAUUAAUGGCGUGCAUAGUUUUCUGCGUGUGGCUGAGGCAAACAAGCGGAAUGGUUUUAUGUGUUGUCCAUGUGGUGUCUGUAAGAAUGAUAGGGAUUACUCUACCUCAAAAAUCCUUCACAGCCACCUACUUCAGUCCAGAUUCAUGUCUGGCUAUAACUGUUGGACCAAGCACGGAGAAAGAGGAGUUAUAAUGGAAGACAAUGAAGAAGAAGAGGAUGAUGACAACUAUCCUAGGUUCCCUGAAUGUGAUGGUAUGGGGGAAGCUGAAGAAGAGGCAUCAGAUGUGCCCGCUGAUGAUCUUGGUCGGGCCAUUGCUGAUGCAAAGAGAAACUACGAAAGUGAAAAGGAGAGGUUGAAGUUGGAGCGCAUGUUAGAGGAUCACAAAAAAUUGGUAUACCCAAAUUGUGAAGAUGACAAGAAAAAGUUGCAUACCACACUGGAAUUGCUGCAAUGGAAGGCAGAAAAUGGUGUAUCUUGCAAGGUAUUCGAAAAGUUGUUGAAAAUGUUAAAGAAGAUGCUACCAAAGGAUAACGAAUUGCCUGACAGUACGUACGGAGCAAAGAGGGUUGUCUACCCUCUAGGAUUAGAGGUGCAGAAGAUACAUGCAUGCCCUAAUGACUGCAUCCUCUACCGCGGUGAGGACUAUGAGAAUUUGAAUGCAUGCCUGGUAUGUGGUGCAUUGCGCUAUAAGAUUAGCCAUGAUGACCCUAAACAAAGAGCAUGCAAAGUUGUUGCGAUGGCACAAAGAAGACCGUAAGAAAGACGGGAUGUUGAGAGUACCCGUUGAUAGGUUGCAGUGGAGAAAAAUUGAGAGAAAGUGGAUGGAGUUUGCAGAUGACACAAGGAACUUAUGGUUUAGUAUAAGUACAGAUGGCACCAAUCCUUUUGGGGAGUAGAGCAGUAGUCAUAGCACCUGGCAUGUGACUCUAUGUAUCUAUAACCUUCCUCCUCGAUUGUGCAUGAAGCGGAUGUUCAUUAUGAUGUUAGUUCUCAUCCAAGGCCCUAAGCAACCCGGCAACGACAUUGAUGUGUACCUAAGGCCAUUAGUUGAAGAACUUUUACAGUUGUGGGAUAUAAAAGAUGUACGUGUGUGGGAUGAGCACAAACAGGAGGAAUUUGACCUACGAGCGUUGUUGUUUGUAAUGAUCAAUGAUUGGCAUGCUUUUAGUAACCUUUCAGGACAGACAAACAAGGGAUACAAUGUAUGCAUGCACUGUUUAGAUGAGACUGGAAGUAUAUAUUUGGAUAAAUGUAAGAAGAAUGUGUACCUGGGACAUCGUCGAUUUCUUCUGAUCGGGCAUCUCUUAAGAAAGAAAGGCAAGCAUUUCAAAGGUGAGGCGGAUCACCAGAAGAAGCCUGACCACCGUACUGGUGAUGAUAUAUUUGAUAUCGUCAAGGAUUUAAAAGUAAUCUUUGGAAAGGGUCAUGGCGGACAAUCUGUUUCGAAUGACGCUAACGGACACACACCCAUGUGGAAGAAGAAAUCUAUAUUUUGGGACCUACCCUACUGGAAAGUCCUAGAGGUCCGCUCUGCAAUCGACGUGAUUCACGUGACGAAGAAUCUUUGCGUGAACCAGAAGAUAAAAGAUACACCGGAGGCAUGGGAGGACCUGCAACGUAUGAACGAAAAAGAAGGCAUGCAUCCAAAGCAGUAUCAAGGUCCUGCCAGCUACACUCUUACCAAAGAAGAGAAGGAAAUCUAUUUUGAAUGCCUGAGCAGUAUGAAGGUCCCGUCUGGCUUCUCUUCGAAUAUAAAGGGAACAAUAAAUAUGGCAGAGAAAAAAUUCCAAAACCUAAAGUCUCAUGACUGCCACAUGAUUAUGAUGCAAUUACUUUCGGUUGCAUUGAGGGAGCUUCUACCGGAAAAUGUUCGAUUAGCCAUUGUGAAGUAUGUGCAUUCCUCAAUGCAAUUUCUCGGAAGAUAAUCGAUCCAGAAAUCAUACCAAGGUUACAGAAUGAUUUGGUCCAAUGUCUUGUUAGUUUUGAGUUGGUGUUCCCACCAUCCUUCUUCAAUAUUAUGACGCACGUCCUAGUUCACCUAGUCGAAGAGAUUACCAUUCUGGGUCCUGUAUUUCUACACAAUAUGUUCCCUUUGAGAUGUUCAUGGGAGUCUUAAAAAAUUAUGUUCAUAACCAUGCUAGGCCAGAAGGAAGCGUCUCCAAGGGCCAUGAAACAAAGGAGGUUAUUGAGUUUUGUGUUAACUUUAUUCCUGACCUUAAGCCGAUUGGUGUUUCUCAAUCGCGACAUGAGGGGAGACUGAGUGGAAAAGGCACGCUAGGAAAGGAUUCAGUAAUAAGUAUGGACGGGCAUUCUUUCACUCAAGCGCUCUACAUAGUUCUACAAAAUUCUACCUUGAUGGCUCCGUAUAUCGAGGAACACAUGGAUAUUGUACGCUCCAAGAACCCGGAGCAGUCUGACCCCUGGAUUAAACGUACACACAUGGCAACUUUCGGCUAUUGGUUGCAAACACAUCUCAUGAAUAACACCACUAUUGGAGAUGAGAUGUACUUGCUGGCCAAGUCAACAUCUUCGACUAUAUUGACUUUCAAAGGGUACGGGAUAAAUGGGAAUACAUUUUACACGAUCGCCCAAGAUAAAACGAGCACCAACCAAAUAGUGGUGUCCGCUUUGAUGCAACAAACAACAAUAGGAAAAAGGACACAUAUUAUGGUUACAUAGAGGAGAUAUGGGAAAUUGACUAUGGACCUUCUUUUAAGGUCCCUUUGUUUCGGUGCAAAUGGGUCAAUCUGACAGGAGGCGAGGUAAAGGUAGACCCGCAGUAUGGAAUGACAACAGUGGAUCUCAACAAUCUUGGGUACACAAACGAACCAUUCGUCCUAGCCAAUUUUGUGGCACAGGUUUUCUAUGUGAAGGACAUAUCUACCAAACCGAGAAAAAGAAAAGAUAAGGAAGUGAAUACAUCAUACGAUGAGCAAAAGAGCCACAUAGUUCUUUCAGGGAAAAGAAACAUCGUGGGAGUGGAGGACAAGACAAACAUGUCAGAAGAUUAUGAAAAGUUUGAUGAAAUUCCUCCCUUCACAGUGAAGACUGGCCCAAGCAUCAUGUUAAAUGAUGAAGAUUCUCCAUGGUUACGGCGCAAUCAUAAGCAAGGGACACACGUGAAGAAAAAAAUUUAUACCCCAAGAUCCCACUCUAGGAUGUAACCGGCUUCACCGUCAUCACUUUCUCUCUAGUGAAUUUCCGGACUUAUAUUUGUAAAGUCUCACUUCGGACAAACCGGAGGGAAUCUUUGUAAGAGUUAGGGUAUAUAUGUGUUUUGGGUGUUCCUAGGUGGACUCCGGAGCAUCAGAAUCCAACCAAAAAGCUAGGGCAUUUUGGCAUUUGAAACAUGAUUUUGGAAUAAUUAUUUAAUAAGUUAUGAAUUUUCAAUUAUUCAUGUCCUAUUAGUAUUUAAAUUAUACAGAGGAGUUAAUCAAUGCAAUUAUUAAGCUAUGGAAGAGAGAGAGUUACUGGAGGUAGAAUAUGACUAGGGUGAGCUCUAGUAAAAAUUUGAGCUAAAGGAGAAUCCAUUUGGUACCCCAAUCAUUGACCGCAAGAUUUUGGCAGAAGGUGUUUGAUGAUGAAUAGAGGUACUUAGAGUAAUCCAAUGGCUUUGGAAUUUAAUAAGAAUGACCUUGGUAUCCAUUUGAGCUAGGGUGCAAAUUUGUAGCUCAUUUAAAGAAACUUGGCAAUGUAAAUAUUUCAAACCCUAGCACCGGGACUAAAUGGUUUUGACAAGCUUUGAUCAAGUUAACUUGUUCUCCAACUUGUGCCAUUUGAUGGGGGUGAUGCUCAUGACCAUCUGGCAAUGUGGUAAAAAUUUGAGAUCAAUGGGAGAAAGUUGCGAUGUAACUUUGUCAAACCCUAGAAAUGGGCAGAAUUGGUUUUGGCAUACUUUGACCAAUCUAAUUUAUUCUCCUUGAUGCACCACUUGGCCUAGAUGAAUAUUUAGACCAUUUUAGCAAUUGUACCAAGUUUGAGCUCAUUCAGACAUGUUUAGCAAUGUAAAGUUGCUCAAACUAGAAAAUGUACAGAGAUGGAUUUGAGGGAAUUUGAUGAUGUUAUCUUAUUCUCCAAGACAUGAUACUUAUAAAGAUCAUCAAAUAUAGUAUUAGUGACAUGCUACCAUUUUCUUGGAUUUAUGGUGAAUAUUUCCUUUGUAAAUAUUUCAAGAAUUAAUUUCAAUCUGUAAAGUUGUAUCUGUCAAAUAAUUUCUUCAAAAUGAAAAUUAAAACUCCUCAUGUUGACUAACAGACACAUAAUAUAAUUUGGCAAAAGAAUAACACGAAAACAUAAACUAAAACAAUUAAAACAAAUGAAAAGGUAUAAAACUAAAGGAGCUAAACCGGAUAUGUUUUUGAUUAAAAUACCUAUUUAAAAUAUCCUAAAGAUUAUCAAAUUGAACAUACUGAUAAAACACACUAAUAUUAAACAGCAGGAAAAAGAAUCACUCAAAAAUCUAUUUUAAAACUAAAGUUAAUCACAAACUAGUGAUUGACACAAAUUUCAAAGAAUUCAGCACGUAGUACAAACUAUAUUGAGUUGGCUUUAGAUAUGGCUGGUUGUGUUGGGUGCAUAAGCAUUGGGUUCUCAAAGAGAAUUCAGUGAUAUAAAUAAGUUUUAUGGCAUCAAUUUAAUUUAUUUUAUAAUGAUUGUUUUAGGUCAUCAAACAUAACCGAAUAAUCUUAAGAAAGUGUUAUGGAAUCCCUUCUAACUAUGUAACUAUUACAUGUGAAGUGAAAUGCAAGAAAAAGAUAUAAGAACAAUAUUAUUAUUUUUGAAUAAUUUAGAUGCAAGCAAUAUAUGGAGGAGGUACAUUGAUAAAUCAUAGCUAGAGUUGCAUAAUGUAAAUUUUUGCACAACUGUGCUUCUAAACCACAUCGUAAAAACAAGUGUUUGCAAGAACCAUAUCUGAAAAGGUAUAAGUUCAAUAAAAAGGGAAUAAUAAUAAUUGCCCGCACCUAGUUCAUAGCAAUGAAUAAAAUCCUUCCUAAUUAAACACCAACACAAUAUAUGGAAGAAGCAUAAAGAACAUGUAGAAGGUACAUUUUCCUGUCAAUAGAGCUUUAGAAUUAACUUUAAUGAAACAUUCAUGUUUUCAGAAGAGUGUGAUGUGCAUAUAUCUGCCCAUGAAAAACAAGAAGUUUCGUAGAAAAAUUGACCAUCUUUCAAGAAAAACACUACUUUUAUGAGAGCAUUCUGGCAUGCAAAAUUGGUUUUCUUGUAAAUGAUAACUAGAAAGUUCUAAAACUCCAGGUCAUUCUCUAGCGGCACUACUUUCAGUUUUCCAUUCCAAUUGGAUCCACAACAACAUUGAUCCGAAUUUUGUAGGAACACUUAUAUUGUUGAAUUGAACUUGAUAUCAAAUCAGUGUUUAGUUUAUAAAUAAUCUCUAUAAGUGAUACAUCUUUCAGUAUAAAUACAUUUUUCUCAAGACUACUUGGUGAAAAAAUAGCAGACACCAAAUGAAAUGUAUAAUUUUGUCAUUGGAAAAUCAAAAUGAAUGCCACGGGAAGACCCCCAAACUGUAAUAUUAAGAUCACCAUUGACUAUCCAAAUCUAAGGCUACCGCAUUCAUUAUAAAUAAAUUCUUUUCCAUGAAACUAAACCAUGCCAAGACUAAAAUUCAUGAAGGAAAGUCAUCCAUAGUAUUAUGUUUCAUUAUAUGAUACGCUAGUUAUUUCGUCAUUUAAAGUGAUGAUAUGGCUCCAUCGUGGUAUUAGAUGUGGCCUUUCCUAUGACGAUGUGGUAUCAUCAUUUUUUCUAAUCUAAUAAAAAGUCUUACAUAUUGGUCUCACAAUCCGAAAACUCUCCUUUGCACGCGCGCGUUGGACGGGUGAAGCGCUCCGCACAAGAAAUCAGGUUCCGACCACGCGCUAUAUUCCUUUCCAAACUUUGGCGUGCCAUUUAACUGAGAAUGGUAGCCCCACAUAGUAUAGCAGCCCACUGCCAUGGAACUAAAUGUGUUGGGCUCACCCCACCUGUUACGCGCAUUCACGGAAGGGCUAGUUGUGGUGGCAUCAUGGUUUUCACUUUCAGUGAGAUGUCUUUGAUUUCACUGAAUUUCAGGAAUUCAAUAGACACGAAAAUAUUUACCUUUCGUUCAGAAUAUUUCAGUCAUUUCAGUUGUACACGUGAAAUCAAAUAUUUUUCAAGAUAUUUUCAAAUAUGUUUUUGAAUUUCAAGUGAAUAUUUUGGUCUUUUGGCCAAAUGCAAACCGAAAUUAAAGAAUUUUAGUAAUUUUGGUAGGUACUGAAACAACAAUAGGGUUUUUGCCUGAAUAUGAAUUUUGUCAUGAAACAUAUAGGGUUUUUGCCUCCUAGGUAGGUUUUAUAGCAAAAUUGAUAUUUUCGUCAUGGAAGGACCUAUGUUUAUGACACAAACACAAAACAUCACAGAUAAUUCUUCGUAGAAGGCCAAAACUUUACUAGUAGAAGAUAUCUUGGGACUCGUCAAUUGGGUAUGUAAUUUGCACAUAUUUGUGUCCCUCUACACGUUCUCUGGUUUACUGGAAUUUCUGUAAUACUGCAAGAAAAAGUAUCUAAUUGCGGUGUAAAAUGGUUAGAAAAGGUGACAUGUCUUUGAUGAAUCGAUGUUGGAAUAUGGCUCACAAGACAAGUGCACUAUGGUAGGUUUGUCCUUGUCUUGUUUUGACACCUUUUGCUUGUCCUUUUUCCUAGUUUUUAAUUUGGAUUUUGGCAUUUUAUCAUCUGGUUCUCGUCAAUUUCCUACUGUGUUGCCACUAGUUUUCAAGGGGUUCUCACCAUCUUUUUAUGUGUUUCUCCACAAUAUAUUCUUAAGUACUUUGGUAUUCCAUAACAAUUUUCGCACUAGAUAGUACACAACAUAUGAUUGAGCAAAAAAUGCAUGAGAAGAAAACAAUGCAAGACAUAGGCGUUUCCAACUGCAAACAAAGUAACAUUUCCAUCAAUUGAUGGCAAGACAAUAAUUCACGGAUUGCAUAUAAUAUAUGUGUGUAUGUAUAGCCAGUGUUGUAAUUCUCAUAUGCAUCGUCCUCGACCUACGUUGGUAGGUGCUUACAUACAUAUGCUCAUAUAUUCACAUAUGAGUAGAACGAGAAGUAAAACCGAGAAAGCAGAGCUGCCGACAAAUGUGAACUAACAUGGCAUGUAUAUGUGUUACUUCAACUUGCACUUUAGGCCUUGCCAGAUUCCUCGCAGCCUGGUGGCCUGAAGGCAAUGAAGCUGACGCACUGCACCUGGCGCAUGUUGUCGAAGCCGAUGACACGGACAUAGGCGUCAGGGUACUCCUUCUUGACCUCCUCCACCUCGUUGAGCACCUGCGUUGCGUCGGUGCACCCGAACAUAGGCAGCUUCCACAUUGUCCAG
Molecule: long non-coding RNA, 48110 nt
Filed under: Triticum aestivum (bread wheat)
Lineage: Eukaryota; Viridiplantae; Streptophyta; Magnoliopsida; Poales; Poaceae
Description: long non-coding RNA (TAES_LNC023561)
Source: RNAcentral